CCGACGUCGUCGCCUUCGCCGCCCGCGACGCGUCCUACUUCCUCAGCAACCGCAGGAUCAACAUCCCGACGCAGGGCGGCCGCUAUGACGGGCGCGAGUCCUUUGCCAACGAGACCGACCAGCUGCCCGGGCCCUUCUCCAAUGUCACGGAGCUCCAGGCGAGCUUCGCGGCCAAAGGGCUCACCUCUGACGAGAUGGUCGUGCUCUCCGGUGCACACACAAUCGGCCGCGCCCGCUGCAUGUUUUCCUCCAGCCGUCUCUCUGAGAUGGACCCGGCAUUUGCCGCCAAGCUCAGGGCCCAGUGCAACGGAGAUGACAACACCAACGUGAACCAAGACGAUGUGACCCCCGACGUCCUGGACAGGCAGUACUACCAGAACGUGAUCGACAGGAAAGUGUUGUUCACCUCAGACGCCGUGCUCAACUCGACUGAAACAAUAGCGCAGGUGACAGAAAACGCGAACAGGGCCGGGGCGUGGGAGAGGAAGUUCGAGAGAGCAAUGGAGAAUAUGGGAAAAAUCGGGAUCAAGACCAGAGGCGACCAGCAAGGCGCAGAGAUCAGGAAGGUAUGCUCCAGAGUCAACAACUAACGUCAGCUAGUAGUAAUGCGGGGUCGUUGGCUGGCUCCAUCCAUGGCGGAAUCGCCCGACGAUGAGAUGUAACUCCGUCUAGCUACUGUCAUUGUUGGUUUUCUCAUACUACUAAAACUCUGUGUGUGCCGGCGCGCGUGCGUGUCUAUGUGUGUCUGUUAAUAAAGGUAUACAGUAAGUACCAAGUAAAUAUUGUGUUCACCUACAAUUCCAUUAUUUUUCUAGUUGUUUCUCACGAUUUUAUAUUGCAUCAAUGUGACUAACAUCUUGUACGUCGAGAAGACCCCCUCCCCCCUUCCCUAUUUUUUCAUCAUGCCAAGCCCAGAAAUCUUCAUGUUCGGCAAUGUUUAAUGGUAUAUUACAAAUGGCAAACAUGUUCGUACGUUGCAACGGAGAAAAACUUCUUUUCUGAAACUACCUUUGUGUUCUCCUAUAAAAAGUGCCAGAAUCAAGAUGUGGUAGGGAAAUUAAUAUGCAAACUUUGAUGUUUUUACUAUUAUUUUUGGCUCACAUUAUAAGCAUCUACAAAAAUCACCUCAUGCAUUGGUGUCCAGGAAGACGGAUCUUUGAUAAAAUAACCAAGAAUACUUAUAUACUAACAUAAGUAAGAUAUUACUCUCCCCAAUCCAUAAUAAUUGUUGAAGUUGUACUAAAGCUGCAACAAUUAAUAUGAAUAGGAAGGGAUAUAUAUUUUAGCACAAGAAAAUUUCAAUUGUCGCAAAAGUUAUAACAAACCUAAAUAUAUUAUAUUUUGAACAACAUUGUAACUAUCCAAAUAUCUUUUGCAAGUAACAUCUUGUACAUAUAUGCAUGUAGGCAAAGUUCUAAAAGAUCCUGGUCAAAUCCAUAUUGAGACGUGUUGGUAUUUUGUAACCGGCCGUGGACAUGUUGUCACUAGUAGAAAACAUGGCUAUAGUUUCUGUUGGGGAGGGCUAUAGCCAACCGGAGCUAAUAAUUAGAGACUAAAGCCCCUUAGUCCCGGUUCAUGUUCAACCGGGACUAAAGGAGCUUCACGUGGCCGCUGUCGGACGCCCAAGCAGGAGGACCUUUAGGGUUAUCAACCGGGACUAAAAGGUCGUGUUUUCAUUUUCUUUUAUAUUUAUAUUGUAUUUUCAUGUGGUUACACAUAUUUAUAUACAACAUCAGUAUAAAUUAUGAAAGAACAACAUCCAACAUCAGUACAAAUUAGAUCGAUGCGAUAGACCAAAUUAAAUUAGAGGAAAAUACGAUAUUGGUCUAUUGCAUCCAUCUAAUUUGUACUAGUAUAUGUCAUAUAACAACUCAUCAUCAUCAUCUUAAUCAACUCAUCAUCAUUCAACAUCCAACAACUCAUCAUCAUCUUAAUCAACUCCUCAUCAUUGUGGUUAUCACAAGGUUGAAACACUAAUUAUUACUACUCUCUCUUAGGUAAAAAAAAAAGCAUAAUAAAGGCAAGCUCCAACAUCUCCCCAUUGAAGAACACAGAUCAACCUAUCUCCAACUUGUGGGAUGCGCAAGUAUUCCUCUCCAAGUGGUGUCGUGGAUACUUGUAUUCCAUUUCUCCAUCCUUUGAUUUUCAGGGUUUCUUCACUUUGAGAUAUCCUGUAUUUAUCAUUGUAAUUAAUCGGGAGUGGCCGUAAGCUAACCAUAUGCAAAUUACCGGUGGCAAACAUCCAUUUAGACACGGUCUCUCAUGGAAGUACAUGUUGAAGAACAUAAGUAAUAAUAACAUAGUUAGCUAUAUGACGAAGCGUAGAACCCUUUGUCUCGGGCCGCAAUGUAUUUAUAUCACAAUAUCUUGGAGUACAAGGCAAGAUCUUAUCAAGAGGUUACAUGAGAUAAGGGAGAUUAGAGAAGAGAUAGAAAAGGGUUUAAACUACAACUGUAUCCUAUACAAUUGUCUAACACUCCCCCUCAAUCUAAACCCUAUUUAGCAAGGUUGAGAUUGUACUUAAAAUCAUCUAGCCUCCUCAUUGUGAGAGGUUUGGUGAACCCAUCAGCAAGUUGAUCACCUGUUGGAAUGAACCUUAUAUCAAGUAAUUUGUGUGUUACUCUUUCUCUGACAAACUGAAAAUCAACCUCAAUAUGUUUUGUUCUUACAUGAAAAACAGGAUUAGCUGAGAGAUAGGUUGCACCAAGAUUGUCACACCAUAAUCUGGCAGCCUGAGGCACCUUGAUUCCAAGUUCAUGUAGCAAAGUCUGAAUCCACAUUACCUCAGUUGUUGCAUUUGCUAAAGCCUUAUAUUCAGCCUCAGUACUAGACCUUGAGACUGUUGCCUGCUUCCUUGCACUCCAUGACACAAGAUUUGUUCCCAGAAAUACAGCUAAACCACCUGUUGAUCUUCUGUCAUCAGCACAUCCUGCCUAGUCUGCAUCAGAGUAGGCUGACACAAGCAUAGAUGGAGAUUUUACAAUUUGAAGACCAAGUCCUUUUGUAAACUUCAGAUACCUCAAAAUUCUUUUUACUGCUGUCCAAUGAGAAUUAGUAGGAGCAUGUAAGUAUUGACAUACUUUGUUGACAGAAUAUGAAAUAUCAGGUCGUGUGAGAGUUAAAUACUACAAUGCUCCUACAAUACUCCUAUAGUUUGUUGCAUCAUCUGGCCCAAGUGCUUCUCCACUCUCAACGGUGAGUUUUUCUGAAGUAGAGAUAGGUGUACUAACUGGCUUACAUUUUUCCAUACCUAUUCUUUUGAGAAUAUCAGUAGUAUACCUUUCUUGUGUAAGAAGUAUACCAUCUUUUAUCUUCUUAAUUUACCUCAUUUCCAAGAAAGUAGCGAAGAUCUCCUAGAUCUUUAAGAGCAAACUCUAGCUUUAAAUCUUUAAGCAGACAAGUUGUAGCAUCUGGACUUGAGCUGGCAACAAUUAUAUCAUCAACAUAAACAAGAACAAAUAUAGUAACAUUGUUCUUACUGUAGAAGAAUAAGGAGGUAUCUGCCUUUGAUGGUGUGAACCCAAGUUUUUGUAACUGUGUACUUAACCUUGAAUACCAGGCUCUUGGGGCCUGUUUCAACCCAUACAAAGCUUUAUCCAACUUGCAGACAUGAUGUGGUGUGUUCUUGUUUUUAUACCCUGGUGGUUGCCGCAUGAACACUUCUUCCUCAAGAACACCAUGAAGAAACACGUUCUGGACGUCUAGCUGUCGUAGGCUCCAACCUUUGGAAAUAGCAAUAGACAGUACAAGUCGAAUAGUGGCUGACUUAAUAACAGGGCUGAAAGUAUCCUCAUAAUCAAUACCAAACCUUUGUUUAAACCCUUUUGCAACCAGUCUAGCUUUGUAUCUGUCUAUACUACCAUCAGCUCUUUUUUUAUUUUAUAUACCCAUUUGCAAUCUAUCACAUUUGCACCUUUCUUUGGUAAGACUAACCGCCAUGUUUUAUUUUGAAUCAGUGCAUCAUACUCAACAUCCAUGGCUUUCUUCCAUUCCUUGUGAGCAAGGGCAUCAUGCAAAGUUAUUUGUUCACCAGUACUUGUGAGGAAAGCACGUUUGUGUGUGUCAUAUCUGAUUGUACCGUCUGUAUAUUUCUUAUCCUCGACAACACCUGACCGAGACCGUGUAUGACGAGGAGAAGGAGGAGCUAGAGUUGCUGCAGGUCUGUCCACAGAAGAGUCAGCCGUAGAGGAACCGAUCAAACCGGUCGGGCUGGCCCCCGCACCAACAGUGCCAGAAGGCGGGCCACUGUUGGUGGAGCCAAUGGGCGCCGCGCUUGGGAUCUCGUCGAAGGCGGCGCUGGCGCGGGUGGGCGCCGCACGUGGGGCGCUGUCGGUUGGCUCGGGAGGAUCCUCCUGGGAUCCGCCGACGCGGGUGGGCUCCACACGGGGGGGGGGGCGNNNNNNNNNNNNNNNNNNNNNNNNNNNNNNNNNNNNNNNNNNNNNNNNNNNNNNNNNNNNNNNNNNNNNNNNNNNNNNNNNNNNNNNNNNNNNNNNNNNNNNNNNNNNNNNNNNNNNNNNNNNNNNNNNNNNNNNNNNNNNNNNNNNNNNNNNNNNNNNNNNNNNNNNNNNNNNNNNNNNNNNNNNNNNNNNNNNNNNNNNNNNNNNNNNNNNNNNNNNNNNNNNNNNNNNNNNNNNNNNNNNNNNNNNNNNNNNNNNNNNNGGGGGGGGGGGGGGCUGUCGGCCACGUGGGCGCCGCUGGCGAUUGGCGCGUGGGAGCCGCCGAUGCGGGUGGACCCCGCAGGUGGGGUGCUGUCGGCCACGCGGUUGCGGGCGGUUGGCGCGGGAGAAUCCGCCUGGGACUCCUUGUCGGGCAGACUGCGCCGGGUGACAACCUCGGAUCGCACGCCUGCAGGAGCUGCAGCAGCCAGCGGAUCAGCUUGGAUUUCCGCGCGAGUCUUGGCUGCAUCUGGGUACAUGAAAUAAUGCCCUGUAGCUGCAUUUUCAAUGUCAGUUUCAACAUAUUCCAUGAUAUUUUUCACAUGAUUAGUCCUAAUUAAUUCACCCCCGUGAUUAGAAGAUGAAAUAGGCUCGGAAAGAAGGGAGAUUUCGGCACGCAAAAGAGCUCCCGCAUUAGGAUGGAGUUUAGCAAAGGGAAACAUGGUUUCAUCAAAAAUAACAUCACGGGAAAUAUAGAUACGACCGGAUGAGAUGUGUAGACACUUGUAGCCUUUAUGGAGAUUACUAUAACCAAGGAACACACAUUGUGUAGACCGAAAUUCGAGUUUAUGAUGAUUAUACGGACGAAGGUUUGGGUAACAUGCACACCCAAAGAUUUUGAGAGAACUGUAGUCUGGUUUUUGAUGAAACAAACGUUCCAAUGGAGUAGUGUUGCCAAUUACUCGACUAGGCAAACGAUUUAUAAGGUAUGUGGCCGUGAUAAAGGCCUCAUCCGAAUAUUUAAGUGGCAUGGAUGCGUGAGCUAGAAGGGAUAGGCCAACUUCAACAAUAUGACGGUGUUUUCGUUCGGCCGAACCAUUUUGUUGAUGAGCAUGGGGACAAGAGACAUGGUGAAUAAUCCCAAUGCUACGAAAGAAGGAGUUAAGUUUCUCAUACUCUCCUCCCCAGUCACUUUGAACUGCAAGGAUCUUUUUUUCAAAUUGUCUCUCAACAAGUGUUUGGAAUUCUUGAAAGACAGAGAAAACUUCAGAUUUGUUUUUAAGCAAAUAGAUCCAUGUGAAUUUGCUAUAAUCAUCGAUGAAACUGACAUAAUAUUUCUUUCUACCAAAAGAAUCUCUUGGAUGACCCCAUACAUCACUGAAAAUAAGCUCUAAAGGAGCAUGAGACACACUAUUUGACAAGGGAUAGGGAAGUUGGUGACUCUUGGCACAUUGACAAGCUUCACAAACAGACUCUGUAUUGGAACUACUUGACAAUGCAAGAUUGCCUUUAUCGACUACUUGCUUAACUAUAUUUGAAGAAGGAUGCCCUAAUCUUUGGUGCCAUCUGGCUAGUGACGGCUUGGUGGCAUAAUAAACUUGGCGACGACGCUGUCGAUUAAGACUCUUGAUGUGAUGGGGUAUAGUCCUCCAAUGCAUCUACCGCGAUGGAUGAGUUCCCUCGUUGCCCGAUCUUUAAUGAAAAAAUAGGUAGGAUGAGUUUCAAAGAAAAUAUUGUUGUCGGAUGUCAAACGGGACAUGGAAGCUAGAUUCUUGUCGGCUUGUGGAACAUGGAGAACAUCUUUAAGAACAAGAUCACGUUUGAGGCUAGGGGAAUUAAUGGAGGAUUGACCAAUGUGAAGAAUAUCCAUACCUCCACCACUUGCAGUGUGAAUCUGGUCGUUGCCGUGGUACCUCUCCCUGAGAGCCAGCUUUUCUAGCUCAUUCGUGACAUGAUCUGUGGCGCCGGAGUCGGCGUACCAAACCGUCUCACCAUCGGCUCCACCGUGUUUCCGUGUGGCGGCAGUAGCUUGCCGUGUUUCGGGCGUCUAGUCCUCAUCAUACCGGUGCCAGCAGUCAAUGACUUCGUGGCCCGGCUUCUUGCAAAGCUGGCAUCUCGGUCGGUGAUUGUUGUUGUAGCCGCCGCCGUUGUAGCCGUUGUUGUAGCCACCGCCGCGAUCACCGCCGCCGCGGUCACCACCACCACCAGGGCGAGCCUGGCCCUGGUUUCCGGCGCGUCCUCCACCGCCGUUUUCGCGUCCGCGCCCUUGCUGUCCACGCCCACGACCACAUCUGCGGGAGGCAGCGUUGAUAGAGGAUUGGCGUAGAUUGGUUCCAUGCAGCAUACUGAGCCGGGCGUCGAAGCUCAGAAGCUGGCUGUAGAGCUCCUGAACCGUGACCGGUUCGACCCGCGCGGCCAAGGCCGAGAUCACAGGGUUGUAGUCGAUGUCGAGGCCGGCGAUGACGUGAGAGAUGAUCUCGGCAUCUCCGAGCGGUGCACCGGCGCAGGCAACUUCAUCUGUAAGGGUUUUGAUCUUUCCAAGGUAUUCUGCCAUGGUUAGAUUACCUUUUUGUAGAUUGGUGAGGGCCAUCCUUGUGUUGAUCUUUUGGGCUUGUGUUUGUGCAGCAAACAUGGUAUGGAUGGAAGUCCAUACCUCGACCGGCGUCUGGAGCAUCACCACUUGCGCGAGAACUUCUCGAGAGAGAGAUCCCAUGAGGUAUCCUUGUACCUGCUGUUGCUGCGCGUACCAGAUUGAUCUGGCGUAGUUGAAGACCUGCUCUUCCUUCCCAUCCUUGGUGAUGGCGAUGGUGGCAGGAGGCGCCGGGCUUGCGGCGUCGAGGAAGUGUUCCAUCUGUACCCCCUUGAUCUGGGGUAGCACGACGGCCUUCCAAAGAAGGAAGUUCGUCCUAGUGAGCUUCUCUGAUGGAGGUGGACCGAGAGAGAGCGAGGUAUUGGAGGAGGAUGUGGGCGCGACGGAUGUAAUCUGGGUGGAUGCAAUGGUGGGGAGCGCGGGGCCUGUCAUCGUCGACUCUCUACGAUCGAUGGAGCGGGUUCUCUUUUCGGUAGCUAGGCGUCGAGAGGAAGGGCUCUGAUGACCAUAUGACGAAGCGUAGAACCCUUUGUCUCGGGCCGCAAUGUAUUUAUAUCACAAUAUCUUGGAGUACAAGGCAAGAUCUUAUCAAGAGGUUACAUGAGAUAAGGGAUAUCAGAGAAGAGAUAGAAAAGGGUUUAAACUACAACCGUAUCCUAUACAAUUGUCUAACAAGCUAAACUAGUUUCGCUUAAGAACAAUGUAUGAAAAAGAUGGACUAGUUACGCAAUGCUAAAAAAUUCUUACAAAGUUGUCUAAAGUGAUGUUAUAAGGGCUCAAUUGGUGUACUAGUGGCACAUAUCCAUGGUAAAUGUUGCCACACAUGUAAUAAUUAGCAUGAUACUUAACAUCAUGAAUAAAUGAAAUGAGAUGAUUUUUCUUCAACCAAGUAAGCUCGGAGCCAUAACUGUAGUAGGUCCGAUCUAUUAUCUCUCGUGCAGUUCUUGUCGCACGGAAAUAGGCUAAUAAUUGAAAAUAAUGAAAUUUAGUCAGGAUGAGUACGGGAUACUAUUCAAUAAUCAAUAUAAAUUACCUAACAAAUUUGUUUACCAAUGCACCUCGAGGUAGAACUGGAAUCAAGUCAUCCUUCGCAUGCAUCAAAAUUCCUAUAUUAUUAUCACGAACAUCAUCAUUAUCAGGAUCGAAGGCAAUGUUCAUGUCCUCAUUCAACACAUAUGCCUUGCAGAAUGCUCUCCAAUUAAAACAAUCAAAAUAUGUAUGAUCUUCUUCAUUUUUUUACUUUGAUAACAAAAGUGAAAUGUUCCGUUCUUAGGUGAGCUAUCUUAGGCAUUGUAAUAUCGUUCUCUUUGAAAUGAAACUUGUUCAAGACAACAAAUCUUGCAUGGCAGGAAAGGCACUAGUCGAAUUGUAUAAAAUAAAAUUAAAGGUUAACUAAAGCAAAAAAGCACACAUACUUCUUCAGUAACAAAAAAAUACAUGUUGUCUUUACAUACCGUAAUAAUUUCAAAUUUAUCCGUCAGCUUGACAAUGAAGGAUGUACCGUUGUCUAGGUGAGGAUAGAAGUUGCAUAUACACGUGUCAUCCUAGCACAAAAGGGACGCAUGGAUCCUAUCAUCAUCGGACCACGCCAUUUUCUAUGUUCAUGAUUCUAAGAUCAAAAAUCGACUGCAAUUUUUUUCUUAAUGCUUAGCGAUUCGAAGAUUAACAUUUUAGUAUUUCAUGAAAAAGCUGAAUUAUAUAUAGUAGUCAGCCGUCGAUGUGGAGAACUUAAUGCCUAAUAAGAAGUAACCUAGUAUUUUUUUUACGUGAACAUUAGCACAAAUACCGGAGGAGCCUAAUAAGAAGUAACCUAGUAAUUCACAUCAACAUUACUCCCUCCAUUUCUAAAUAUAAGACUUUUUAGAGAUUACACUAUGGACUAAAUACGGAUCAAAAUGAAUUAAUCUACAUUCUAAAAUAUGUAAAUUUUCUCAAAUUUCUAUAUAAAAUUUCUAAAAUGAGCUGCGUGGGGCCGAACUGCGCUGCGGUGGGCGGGGGUGACCAUCGGAGGAGGAGGCAGAGGUGGGGUCGGCGGUGGCGUUGCCGUGGGCGGGGCGAGUAGCGGAAGCGGAGGCGGGGCCGGCAGCGGCGCUACGAUGGGUGGGGCCGAGCAUCGAAGGCGGGGCCGACAGGGACAUAUGAUCUUAGGAAGGGGGAGGGGCCUUAUCGGUGUUGCUGAGGAGAGGGGUGGCGACGAUGACGGAGGAGACCGGCGAGGAGGAGGGCGACAUCGAGGAGCGGUAACGGCGACGACGAUGGCGAUUUUGGGCAGCCUCGCGGCGUCGAAGUGACCCUUCUCCCGCGCGGUGGCUAGCAGCACGAGAAGAGGCACUUAUAUACCGGGACUAAGGGACCUCGCCUUUUCGGCGGCGUAAAUUCCGCGCACGAAGGUGGACCUUUAGUCCCGGUUGGUGAUAUCAACCGGGUCCGGGUUGGUGAUACGAAGCUGGACUAAAGGUUGCUUUUUAGACUUUUAUUUGUUUUUCUAAAAAGUAUGGUUUCUAGAUUUUGAAUAACUUUUAGAAUAUUUAGAGCUUUUGAGUGAAUAUUUUUACUUUAGGUCAAAAAAAUUGUAAACUCUUAGUGCGAGUAGUUUUCAAAAUUGAAUAGUUUAAAUUUGAAUUCUUUAAAAAAAUUGUGAAUCAUUAGUUUGUGAAUAACUUUAGUUUAAAAAUAGAUUUUUGAGUGAUUAUCUUUUCCUUCUGUUUAAUAUUAAUGUGUUUUAUGAGUAUGUUCAAUUUGGGUAUCUUUAGGAUAUUUUAAAAUAUGUGUUUUAAUCAAAAAAAUAUGUUUCACUCUUUUAGUUUUGUACAUUUUUCCUUUGUUUUAAUUAUUUGAGAGAUUCAAUUUUAUAGAUUGAAAUUAGUUCUUGUAAAAUACAUAACAAUUUGAAACUAAACCAAAUGAGUUGAUUUAAAUUUCUGUGGAUUCAUCUUGAAGAUUUCUAUCAACUAUAUAGUAUCAUUUUGACAAGAAAUUGCAUAAUUGAUUUUGCACUUAUUAAUUUGAAAAGCACUAUAAAUGAACUCUGAAAAGAUUGAAAUUUGACAUGGUAUCAUCAUUUCACGCAUAUAGCAUGUGCUAAAAAGUUGAGAGAGUUACGGCAAAAACUAGAUGCACUUCGUAUACAAACUAGACAAUAUCUUUUGAAGUAUGAGAGUUUCACACAAAUACUCGUUUGUUACAAAGGCAUUUCAUUUUUUUUAAGCUUACUUGAACUUCAGUCUUUUUGUGCGUUCAAUAUGCAUCAUUCAAAGCCACCUCAUCUCUGACUUCAUUUUCUAUUUUCAUGCAUUUAAUGUUUUUUUAAGCUAAAUGACCCUGAUAUUUAAAAAACACUACAAAUGAUAUCUGAAAAGGUUGAAAUCUGGUAUGGUAUCAUCAUUUCACCCACAUAGAAUGUGUUAAAAAGUUGAGAGGGUUACGAUAAAAACUUAAUGUACUUUGUGUACAAACUAGACAAUCUCUUUCGAAGUAUCAAGGUUUCAGACGAAUACGCAUCCAUUACAAAGGCAUUUAAUUUUUAAGCUUAUUUCAACUCAGACUUUUUGUACAUUCAAUAUGCACCAUUCAAAUAACCCUCAUCAAUUUUCAACCCUUUGUGACUUCAUUUGCUAUUUUAAUGCAUUUAAUCAUUUUUUGUGCUAAAUAACCCUGAAAUUGAAAAGCACUACAAAUGAAAUCUGAAAAGGUUGAAAUUUGGCAUGGUAUCAUCAUUUCACCCACAUCCGAGAAAAGCACUACAAAGUCCGGAAACUCGCUAGAGAAGAAAGUGAUGACGGUGAAGCUGGUCACAUUCCAGAGUGGGAUCUUGGGAUAUAAAAGUUUUUCUUCGCGUGCACCCCUUUGUGUCGUAACCAUGGUCAGUCUUCAUCAUUUAAUAGGAUGCUUGGGUCAGCCUUCACUUUGAAGGAAGGAAAUUCAUGAAACUAUGUGGUGCUUUGGCUCAUCGUAUGAUGUAGUCACUUCCUUAUCUUUUCUUUUUCUAGGUUUGGUAGACAAGUCCUUCACAUAGAAUACCUGCGCCAUGGCAUUGGCUAGGAUGAAUUCAUCUGUGUACCCAAGAUUGUUGAGAUCCAGUGUUGUCAUUCCGUAUCGCUCGUGUUCCAUUAUCCCGACUCCUGUCAGAUUGACCCAUUUGCACUGAAACAAAGGGACCUUAAAAUCACGUCCAUAGUGAAGUACCCAUAUCUCCGCUAUGUAACCAUAAUUUGUGUCCUUUGUCCUAUUGGUGUUUGUUGCAUCAAAGCGGACACCACUGUUUUGGUUGGUUCUCUUUUUAUCUUGGAUGGUCGUGUAAAAUGUAUUCUCAUUUAUCUCAUACCCUUGGAAAGUCAAUACAGUCGAAGAUGGUGUCCUAGCCAAAAGGUACAAGUCAUCCCCAACAGUGUUGGUACCCAUGAGAUGUGUUUGCAACUAACCGCCGAAAAUCCCCAUGUGUUCACGUCUAAUCCAGUCAUCACACUACUCCGGAUGUUUGGAGCGUAGAAUAUUCUUGUGUUCACUGAUAUACGGGGCCAUCAAGGUAGAAUUUUGUAGAACUGUGUAGUGUGCUUGCGCCCAAGAAUGCCCGUCCCUACAUAUUAUCGAAUCCUUUCCUAAUGUGCCUUUUUCACUCAGUAUCCCCUCAUGCCGCGAUUCAGGCACACCAAUCUGCUUAAGGUCCGAAAUAAAGUCAACACAAAACUCAAUAACCUCCUCUGUUUCAUGGCCCUUGGAAAUGCUUCCUUCUGGCCUAGCAUGGUUGUGAACAUAUUUCUUUAAGACUCCCUUGAACCUCUCAAAGGGAAACAUAUUAUGUAAAAAUACAGGACCCAGUAUGGAUAUCUCUUCGACUAGGUGAACUAGGACGCGUGUCAUGAUAUUGAAGAAGGAUGGCAGAAACACCAACUCAAAACUGACAAGACAUUGCACCAAAUCAUUCUGUAACCUUGGUAGGAUUUCUGUAUCGAUUACCUUCUAAGAAAUUACAUUGAGGAAUACACAUAGCUUCACAAUGGCUAAUCGAACAUUUUCUGGUAGAUGCCCCCUCAAUGCAAUCGAAACCAAUUGUGUCAUAAUCAUGUGGCAGUNNNNNNNNNNNNNNNNNNNNNNNNNNNNNNNNNNNNNNNNNNNNNNNNNNNNNNNNNNNNNNNNNNNNNNNNNNNNNNNNNNNNNNNNNNNNNNNNNNNNNNNNNNNNNNNNNNNNNNNNNNNNNNNNNNNNNNNNNNNNNNNNNNNNNNNNNNNNNNNNNNNNNNNNNNNNNNNNNNNNNNNNNNNNNNNNNNNNNNNNNNNNNNNNNNNNNNNNNNNNNNNNNNNNNNNNNNNNNNNNNNNNNNNNNNNNNNNNNNNNNNNNNNNNNNNNNNNNNNNNNNNNNNNNNNNNNNNNNNNNNNNNNNUCAUAAUCAUGUGGCAGUUAUGAGACUAGAUUUUCCAAUGCUUACAAAUUAAGUAACGACGUGCUAAGAAGCUACAACAUCUGCAAUGUAUUUCAGUAGUUGUGACAUUGGAAUAAUGUGGACGUCAUAGAUACAGAUCAUAAUGCCGACGCACAACAUAAUUCGACUCAUAAGUAUUUCAAAUAUUGUUGGUGUCAUCUUCAACGUCACCACUAUUUCUUAACUAUGGCGCCAUAUUGAUGGCGUCGGAUGUCCAAAUGAGUAAGGUCAUUUUUAUCAGGCCAUAGGUAGGCUUUUCUGUACAAAUGCACACGACCAUUCUCGGGCCCGCGUGUUAGCCAGCCAAUCAUAUCUCGUCGGUCCCAUUUAAUCCAAACGUGUGGAAGCCCCCCCCCCCCAGNNNNNNNNNNNNNNNNNNNNNNNNNNNNNNNNNNNNNNNNNNNNNNNNNNNNNNNNNNNNNNNNNNNNNNNNNNNNNNNNNNNNNNNNNNNNNNNNNNNNNNNNNNNNNNNNNNNNNNNNNNNNNNNNNNNNNNNNNNNNNNNNNNNNNNNNNNNNNNNNNNNNNNNNNNNNNNNNNNNNNNNNNNNNNNNNNNNNNNNNNNNNNNNNNNNNNNNNNNNNNNNNNNNNNNNNNNNNNNNNNNNNNNNNNNNNNNNNNNNNNNNNNNNNNNNNNNNNNNNNNNNNNNNNNNNNNNNNNNNNNNNNNNNNNNNNNNNNNNNNNNNNNNNNNNNNGCCCCCCCCCCCCAACACUCACCCAUCCGUCCCACCCCUGUCCUUUUUAAUGCCUAGCUGAUGUGCGUGGAUAUGAAGGUCAUCUUUUACACACUUCUCUGCUCCAGCAUAAUACUUGCGGGCUUCCAAUCCAUCCCAUGGACGCAUUUGACGGCCGGUAUUUUUGAAGGAAAUGUAAUAUAUUCUAAAUUUAACUUUAAAUUAUUUUCAUUCCUUGUAAAAGUUUAAAUUCAAUUUUUUAUGCAAUGUGUGUAAUGCAUAUAGCCCGUUGGAUGCACCCACCACUAGUAGAAAAUUGCCCAUUUGUCCCGGUUCCAGAGGCCCAUUAGCCCCGGUUUCGGAACCGGGACUAAAGGGUCGGGACUAAAGCCCAAAACCUUUAGUCCCGUUCUCUUUACCAACCGAGACAGAAGGGCCUCCACGUGGCCUCUGCGGGGAGCCCAGGCAGGAGGGCCUAUAGUCCCGGUUGGUAAUACCAACCGGGACCAGGAGGUGAGUUUUUUUUUAAUAGGGAGUGUGUUGGGGGUUUUGAAGGGUUAAUUUAGGGGUUUCAUAUUGUGUUAGCGAGCUAAUAGAGAGAAGUGUCCUCUCUUUCUCUGUGAUGUAGAAGUAACGACUUUAGCAAGUUAUCCUCGGUCUCUUAGGUAUUGUGGCGCACCGACCAUUCAUUUACGACAUGUGGGAUAAUGAACCCAACGUCGAAGAUUCAUCCACACAUGAAUCUAAUCCUCUUUCCUUCCCCCAAUGAUAUAAUAACCAAUCAUGAUCAUAAUAACAAAUCAUCAUGAUCAACAUCAUCAUCAUAUUAAUAUAAAAACUCUUGCUUGACUAUAGCUAAUAAUCAUCAUAGCCAUUACCACCAACACUAUUUAAUCAUCAUUUUCGUCAAUGAGACAUCAUAUAACAAAAGUUGGUCACUAGUCAUAAUCACAACUCCUCCUCCCCAUCAUCAUCAACUAUAACAUAUUGUAGCACAUAAUAACACAUUGUCCCUAGGACCUACCCCUCUCUCAUAGGACUUACUCUACCCUCUCUUAGAUACAAUAUCAUAAAACAAGAUAGGCCCCGACUCUCCAUUAUGGAGAAUAGAGAUCAUCUUGUCUUCCAUUCUUGGCCUACGCACAAUGUUGCUUCCAAGCAGCUCUCUACGAUUGAUCAUACAUUUUUUUCAAUCUUUGUUUGUCAUUUCAUCGGUUUUAGAAAUCCGGUAUGGACAGGAGUGAUGCAAAUACCUAGGCUGACCUGGCCAUGCUGGUCGUAUGCUCAUAACAUCAACGCCACCUCUUGGAAACAUCAGAUGAGGCACACAAUCUUAUGGGAUUUUCUGUUGAAAAACAUAGUAUUAACUUUGUAGCUAGCAAUGUAAUUUAGUUUUACAAGAAUUUAUGCAAAAUAUGCACGGAUGUCGUAAUAGUAGAAAAUUUUACCAUGCAAUCUCCAUGCAUGUUACCGUAGUUCACCACGUUCACUAGUGGCACGUAUUGACCAUAAUGUAGGGGAGUUUGCUGAUAGGUAUUGUAAUUCUCAAGAUCAUUGAUAAAUGCGACAAGAUGAUGUUUCUCCUUAUAAGUUAAUUCUGCUUCAUCAUUGUAGUAAUAGGUUCUGUCUACCAUCUUUUGUACAUUUUUUGAAGAACGGAAAUAAGCCGUCAAAGGAAAUAAGUUGUCAACUAUUUUUAAAUAAACAAUAUAAAUUACUUAAUAAAUAUGGUUGAGAAAUUCACAUAAUGGUAGAACUGGAGUCGUCUGCACAUUGACCGAUAUAUCGAUAUUACCUUCAAUUUCAUCUUUUGAACGAAUAUUAAAGGUGAUAAGCAUAUUAGGCUCAAAUGCAUAAGCCUUGCAUAGUGCUACCCAAGUUUUGCUAUCAAAAAAGGAGUAGGUGUAUGCAUUGUACAACUUUACGGCAAAAGUAUAACUAUGCUCGGUCCUCAAGUGAACUAUCUUUACCUUCAUAGUAUUUUCAGUAUUGAAACCAAUCUUAUCCAAGACAUAAAUUCUUGCAUGGCAGGGAUACGCUAGUAGAAUAGUAAAAAAUAAAAAUUAUAAGUUGAAGCAAAAGAAGUCAUGCUUAAUUAUGAAAAAAGACUUGUCGUUGUGACUUACUGUAUCCACUUCGAAGUCCUGAUCCAACAUGAUGCUGAAGCGCCUAUCAUCAACUAGGUGAGGCGUGUCGCAUAGGCCGCGCUCGUCUUGGCAGUAUUCGCACAUAGCGAAUUUCCUGGUAUUUUUCAUGCUUUUACUGAUUUUUUGGAGCUAAAUGACCCAGAAAUUAAAAAGCACUACAAAUGAACUCUUAAUAGGUUGAAAGUUGGCAUGGUAUCAUCAUUUCAUCCACAUAGCAUGUGCUAAAAACUUGGCAGGGUUGCCGCAAAAACUGGAUGCACUUCGUGUACAAAUCAGACAAUCUCUUUCGAAGUAUGAGGGUUUCAUACGAAAACUCAUCCGUUACAAAAGGCAUUUCAUAUUUUUGAACUUAUUUCAUUUUUUCCACAUGGAUGCGUGUAUUAAAAAACCAUUACAACAUAUCAUGAAUAGAGAAGUGAUCAAAUUAAUAAAAAUUCAUCAUCACAUUAAAGCCAAAGUAUAGUAGUGACCAAAAUAAAUACAUAACGUUCUUACAUAGUUCUCAUUAUUGAACAACAUAUAGCUCUCUAGAGCAUCUAAUUAGAACAUACAUUGAAACUACUAAAUUUAAAUGCAACAAUAAAUGCGAUCAUAACCGUAACUAAGUUACAAAUUGAUCCAACGGCAUAAUGAUACCAAGCCUCAAUAUGAAUGACAUAUUUUCUAAUGUUUCUAAUCUUCAAGCGUAUUGCAUUCAUCUUGAUCUUGUGAUCGUCACGUACAUCGGCAACAUCUAACUCCAAUAUCAUCUUCUCCUCUUCAACUCUUUUUAUUUUUUCUUUCAAGUUACUGUUUUCUUUUUCAACCAAAUUUAACUUCUCGGCAAGAAUUUGUAUGUCGGUUCGAAUUUCUGGUUCACAUACCUCCUAUAUAUAAAAUCUAUGUCACGUUGGUCGGCAUAAUUUUCAUAAACACUAAAUAAAACAAAUAGUUAUAAAAGAUAAUAUAUACCAUAUCCGAAUCAUAGACAGGACGAGGGACGACGGAGACGGAUACCAAAACCAUCGCACUAUAUAAUAACAAACAAUAAUAGAAGUAAGAAAAUUACACAAGUAUCUAUCUAAAUCAUACAAGUAAGAACUUUUUUCUUUUAGAAAGAAGAUAAGAAGAAGAGACUAACCACGGUGGUGCCGACGUCGAGAUGGGCGCGGGCGAUCGACGGUGGUGAGGACGGGGACGGGACACGGACGGACCGCCAAAGCUACACAAAACUAGAGGAAAAUGGAGGUUGGACAAGGAGCUUCGAGAGGAGAAAGCUUAAGUAUGGCUUGGGCAUUUGAUCAAACACCUCAUGUGCAUAGGAGGUGAGCUAGAGCACCACAAAGAUCUUCCACGACCGGCCAAAAAAACAGAGCAGUGCACUGCUCUGCUCACGGUCGAGUGGUAUAUAUAGGCCAAGCAUUGGUGCCGGUUUGUGAACGAAACCGUGAGUGAAAGACAACAUUUGAUCCGGGAUCCAGCCAAAAACCGAGACCAAUUGUUGUGGGCCAGGAGCGAGACACAUUCGUCCCGGUUCGUGUCUAGAACCGGGACCAAAAGGGUCAAACAAACCGGGACCAAUGACCCACGAGGCAUGGCCGGCGCCCUGGCCUCACAAACUGGGACCGAUGCACCAUGGAUCCUGGUUCGUAAGUGAACCGGGACUAAUGAAAUUUCAUCAAGUAAACCAAAACUCUUUUUUCUUCUAGUGCACGAACCGUAGGGGACGUCCGUGUCUAUGUAGCCCACCCAAAUCCAAAUGCCAAAUGGACGAAAAAUGGCGUUGAAGUCGGCCUAAUCCUACUCAGUGACACUCGCUGGCGCGUGGCAAACUCAACUUGAAUAAUGCACGAAACGUGCAUUGUCCAGGAAAGAGCAGCGUCAGGGGCAACUUGUCUUUUUAAGUCAGUAAGUCAUCGCUAAUCACGCGGUAUCCGAGUUUUUUAUGCUUGUUUUGCCUAAUACAGUAGGUUGCAAAGUGAGUAUAUACUCUGCAAGCGCAGCGCAGGUUCGGCCGUGAUCCAAAGGUCAAACGAAACCUGCAUGCCGGAGUUAAUAUAGCCGGUUAGCAGCUGUGUAGUACGUAGAGUACUACUCAAUGAACAUGCCGGCGAGGACAGCACAUCAUGGCUGCAUAUGGAAUGGUUGUUGACGUUUUCCACUCAAUGGACAAGUCCGGCGAGGACAGCGAGGCGGAGGAACUGUUCCCAUGCAGCAUUCAACGGUCAACCUUGUCAUCACGGACACCGGCACCGCCAAAUCAGCACCUCUCGAGGCCGAUCAAACGGCUCAGACAAAGCGCAACUUGUCCCUCGACGAGAAGAGAGACAUGGGACAUGGCAUCAAACGUCGCCGCUCAGCCGCUUCAGCUCGUGCUGUACGCGCGCCCGCUCCGGUGGAAAAUCGCCUCCAUCGCAACAUGCGCCGCCCACGAAACGCGGCGUGCGGCGUGCCCAUACGUCGCUGUCCAUUGCCUUCGUCGUCGUCGGUCCCGGACGACCUAUAAAUAUGCCACCAGUAACCCAGCCGGAGAAGACAACACACGACGUACACGGCCAUCUCCCUAGUGACUAGUGCGAAAGGAAGAUGGCGACUAAACUCGCAGCGCUCAUCGUCUUGGCUGCGUUCCUCGCCGGGCCAGCGGCGUGCGAUGGCGCCAGCAUCUGCUUCAGCGGCUGGCUGAGGCUACCCACCUUCAACCCGCUGCUCUGUCGUCGCGGCUCCAGGAUGAACCGCCUUCCGCGGCAGCGGGGGCCCUCUCCCUCGGGGUUAGGGCUCAGCUACGGCUACUACGACAACAGGAGGUCGAGGUCGUACUGCCCCAGAGCGGAAGGGAUCGUGAGGGGUGCCGUGAGGGACGCCGUCGCCGCGUACCCUGGCAUUGGCGCGGGGCUCAUCCGUCUCUUCUUCCACGAUUGCUUCGUCCGGGUACACACACAGCUCGUUGGUUCUAGCUCAUAUAUACUUACUGCAUUGUCGUUCAAGAAGAUCAACAUGUUCAUUAUAUAUAUUCAGGGGUGCGAUGCUUCCGUCCUCCUCACUACGACCAACUCCAACAACAGCGACACGGAGAGGGAAGGCCCUCCCAACAAGAACAGCCUCCGAGGGUUCGAGGUGAUCGACGCGGCCAAGGCGGCGAUCGAGGCCGCCUGCCCCGGCACAGUCUCAUGCGCCGACAUUGUCGCCUUCGCUGCCCGCGACGCGUCCUACUUCCUCAGCAACCGCAGGAUCAACAUCCGGAUGCCGGGCGGCCGCUACGACGGGCGCGAGUCCUUCGCCAACGAGACAGACCAGCUGCCCGGGCCCUUCUCCAAUGUCACGGAGCUCCAGGCGAGUUUCGCGGCCAAGGGGCUCACCUCUGACGAGAUGGUCGUGCUCUCCGGUGCACACACAAUCGGCCGCGCCCGCUGCAUGUUUUUCUCCAGCCGUCUCCCUGAGAUGGACCCGGCAUUUGCCGCCAAGCUCAGGGCCCAGUGCAACGGCAACGACGACACCAACGUAAACCAAGACGAUGUGACCCCAAACGUCCUGGAUAAGCGGUACUACCAGAACGUGAUCGACAGGAAAGUGUUGUUCACCUCAGACGCCGUGCUCAACUCGACGGAAACGAUGAUGCAGGUGAGAGAAAACGCGAACAGAGCAGGAGCGUGGGAGAGGAAGUUCGAGAGAGCAAUGGAGAAUAUGGGAAAAAUCGGGAUCAAGACCAGAGGCGACCAGCAAGGCGCAGAGAUCAGGAAGGUAUGCUCCAGAGUGAACAACUAACGUCGGCUAGUAGUAAUGCGGGGUCGUUGGCUGGCUCCAUGGUGGGAUCCCCCUAUGGACGAGAUGUAACUUCGUCUAGUAUCUACUGUCAUUGUUGGUUUUCUCAUACAAAAGCUCGGUGUGUAUGUUCAUGUACGACUUUUUUUCUGGUUAUUUCUACCGAUUACUCUAGGAGCAUAAAAAAGUCAAAUGUAUUGUUUCUUAACACGGUAUCAUAGGUGCAUUAAAAAUUUAAGAACCUACUUGUCCAAUGUAUUAUCUAUUCGAGGUUGUAUCUAAAUUUAAUGAUAUGAUGCUCGUGCAUGUAUAUGAUUGGACAAUUAGCUAUUUUUGCCUAUAAUAACAUGUAAAGAUUGUACUCCCACCGUCCAGGUGUAUAGAACGUGCGCGUAGUUCUAGGUCGUUAAUUUAACUACUUAAAUAUGUAUUAUAUGUAGUAGAUAAUAUACCAUUAGAUUCAUGCGGGGAUGUAGUUUCUGAAUAUGUAAUUUUUAUCGUAUAUAAUACUCCAUUGACAACCUAAAACUACGCACAUAUCCUAUACACUUGGACGGAGGUAGUACUAGUUGCUAAGAUACAACCCCACCCUCUCUUUUCAUUAAAUAGUGUGACACAUAAGUAAAUUACCUAUGAAACCGUGCUAAGAAACCCCAUUAACAUAGGCUUAAGGUGACCGGUUAGGUUUCAAUCGUCGGUCACCUUUUGGUAGCAAGGGGAUAUACGUUCCACAAGUUGUGCUAAUUACUUCACUUAGCUAGCUAGGUAGUACUCCCUCUGUAAACNNNNNNNNNNNNNNNNNNNNNNNNNNNNNNNNNNNNNNNNNNNNNNNNNNNNNNNNNNNNNNNNNNNNNNNNNNNNNNNNNNNNNNNNNNNNNNNNNNNNNNNNNNNNNNNNNNNNNNNNNNNNNNNNNNNNNNNNNNNNNNNNNNNNNNNNNNNNNNNNNNNNNNNNNNNNNNNNNNNNNNNNNNNNNNNNNNNNNNNNNNNNNNNNNNNNNNNNNNNNNNNNNNNNNNNNNNNNNNNNNNNNNNNNNNNNNNNNNNNNNNNNNNNNNNNNNNNNNNNNNNNNNNNNNNNNNNNNNNNNNNNNNNNNNNNNNNNNNNNNNNNNNNNNNNNNNGUUUACAGAGGGAGUACUUCCUUUAUCACGGUUUAGAAGGCAUCCUUUAAAUUUCAUGCAUUUCUAAAAUGAAGAAGGAUCAAGGCGUGUUUUAUUUAUUGCCUACUAGUAGUAUAUCAUAAUGAGUAAUUAGGAGUAUUACUACUAUUGCAUGCAGCUGUGUGAACGUUGGGAGGAAUUGGUUUCACUGUGCAUGCAUGAGUAAACAAAGAAUAGAUGGAUCACGAUAGGUAGAUGGAUAAGAACAUGCACAUGAAUGCAUGCGCCAAUCGGUCCAUGAACUAUGCUUUCAAUUCCACAUGCAUGCACGUCCGUAUCACUGUGCAGCGUUCAAAAAAUAUCAUAAUUAAGACAUUACAAAUAGAUUGGUAUCAAGAUGGAUAAUUUUUACAUGUCAUUAUUAAAUCUGGGACAAGACAUUAUAAAAAGAUCUAAAUCACAUAUAAAUACAAAUACGUAUUGAUAAUGUAUUUGACCAACGGAGUCUGUCUGUCAGAUGUCGAUGUGACACGUUUUUAACAGAAACCCCCUUUUUAUACUUCAUCAAACAAAUGCCCUUUAUUUUUGCAUAAAAAAAUAUCCUCUGAAAGAUUUUUUUCGUCCAGAAUUUUUCAAAUGCGGCGCCGAGCCACCACGCCACGAAGGGGCUGGCGUUACAGAAGGGCGGGACGUCCUUCCUUUAUACUCGCGUGGACAUGCUAGGCCGGCUGCUUGGGCUUAGCAAGGCUGCACGCGCUGAAUUACUAUUAAAAAUAUUUAUAUGUAACUUUUAAAUUACGCAAUUAUAAAAAAACGCAUAUAACCUGCGGUAAUCGAUACAUAUACUGUGUAUCUUCAUUAUAUUAUUGAAAAAUGCAAAACUAAUAAAAAUAUAUGCCCAACAAACAUUUUUUCUUUUAGUUACUCCUAUAUUGAUUGUAUUUUUAGAAACACACAUGUACUUAAAAAGUUGAUGAAACAUAUUAAAAAUAUUUGUGUUGUUACAAUAAAUUUUAGAAAUGCAUUAAAACUGUUCAACUUUUAUUUUAAAAAAGGUGUUUCUUGAAAUGCAAAACGAUUUUACACAAUAAUAUGUAAAAAUUUCAUCAUAUUUUAAGAAUAUUGCUUAUUAUUUUAGAUAUAAUUGUAUAAUCAACUAUUCAAAAAAAAUCAUCAUAUCUACAUUUGUCAACAUUUUUUGAAAUAAACAUUGACAAAACAAAAAGUUCACCGUGCACUAUUUAAAAUGUCUAUCAUAUCUUAUUAAAUUGUUCAACAUAUGUUACAAAUUUUGUCAAUUUGCAUUUAAAAUAUGUUCAUCGUAUAUUAAAAAAUUAUUAUAUUAAAAGUAUGUUCAACGUUUGUAAAAAGAACCUGUGCAACGAACAAGCCCCAGUAAAACGCGAAACAGAAAAACAUAGUAGGCCUCGGAGGUACCAAUUACCGCCCAUCUAUCUAUUAACAUCUAAAAGAAACCACGCAUGUGUUCUACCACGAGUGUCUCUGUGGCGUGGUGGCUAGGUCGUUGUGCCUUUCCUGUGUACAUCGGGAAUUUGAUACCCCUGAACGAUGGUUUUUGUUUCUUUAACUUAAUUGUUCAAUUCGAUGAAAAAUCAUUCAAAAGAGUCCCAUUAUGUGUUGGAAAAUUACGAACGGGGAUUUUUUUUCUUUCAUAGGAUCAUUUUUCCUGUGAAAAUAACAUGCAUUUAUAUGAUUACGUAUAAAGUAAAGGGUUUUUUUGCAAAAAAACUUGCCACGUAGGCACUUGACAAGAGGGUCUUAUUGGUGAGAUACACCAUCAAUACGUAUUUAUACGCGGUUUAGAUCAUUUUGUAACGGUUUGCCCCAAACUUGAUACUAAAAUGUAAAAACUACCAAUGUUGAUACCAAUCUGCUAGUAAUGCCUUAAUUAUGGUACUUUUAUGCAAUUAACUCCACUAUGCAUGGUGAGUUCACUAUACUCCCUCUCUAAAUUAAUAUAACAACGUUUCGAUCAUUAAAGUAGUGAUCUAAAUAUUCUGAUAUUAGUUUACGGAGGGAGUAUGUAACAAGGGGAAAAUACACAACGGUUGUCGGGGACAUAUGUCCCCGGAAUCUCAUGAGUCAUCCGAACAUGCCUAUUAUUAUAGUUCAUACGACUCGUGCAUAUUGUUUAUUUCUUUGUCCUAGCUUCCGUCGUAUUUGAUUCCUUUGCUCAUGUCACUCGUGUGUGUCCAGCCUCUCAUUUAAUCAACUACUUCUCCUAGUUGUCUCUUUCCUGUGUCUUGUAUCACUACACACGCUUCCUUCGUACGCAGUGUAUCUCUUUUGACACAUUAUGUUUUGCGUGCAUAGUUUGCUUGUCUUCGUAUUUUCAUAACUUAUAUUGAGUGAUAUAAAUUAUGAAAAUGAAAUAAUACAGUAGGCAUCAUGUAAGAACAAUUAUGAAUCUGGUCUUGGCAUUACUUAAGUGAAUGAUCUAUAUUUAUCAUUCUAACCCAUCUCACAAAAUUUCGUUAAGUUUUGUGUGAUUGAAGUUUUCAAGUUUUGGAUAAGAUACCAAUAUGAGGAGAAUAAUGAGCAGCAAGAUCCUAAGCUUGGGGAUGCCCAUGGCACCCUCAAGGUAAUAUCCAAGGAAGACUCAAGUAUCUAAGCUUGGGGAUACCCGGGUAGACAUCCCCUCUUUCAUGUCCAACAUUAUCACUAUAUCUUACUUGGAACUAUAUUUUUAUUCAUCAUAUGAUAUGUGUUUGGUUGCAACGUCAUUUUAUUUUGUUGUUCUCUGUUACUUGUUAUUUAUAAUCUUGUGUUUCAAUAAAAAAGUUUCAAGAAUUGUCUUUAGACUGCUUGAAUUGCAUGUGCGAUGUGUGUUAUACAAAAAUAGAAACUUGUUCUGUAGUAUUUGAAUUAUCAUAUUUUAUUGGAACGAGAAAAGUUUCUGAAACUUUUACACAGUACUUUCAUACAAAUUAUUUAUCAUGUCCAAAAUUUCAGAAUUUUUGAAGAUACAUAAGUACACUUUAUAUAUAUAUUGCUGCAGACUGUUCUGUUUGGAUAGAUUGCUAUCAUAGUUUUGUUAUCUACUUAUUCUAGAGUUUUCAUAGCUUAUAUUAGUGGAUAUAAUUUUUUUAAAUGAUACUAUACAUUACCUAAUGUUUGAAAAUUAUUAUGAAACUUGUCUUGCUAGUACGUGAAGUGUUGAUUUAGUUUAAUGUGUACUAACCUAUCUCAUGAGUUCUUUUCAAGUUUUUGUGUGGAUAAAUUUUGUGAGACUUAGAUGAAACCAUGAUAUGAGAGGAUUCAACGGAAUGGAAAAGCUCAAGCUUGGGGAUGCCCAAGGCACCCCAAGUAAAUAUUUCAAGAAGUCUCAAGCAUUUAAGCUUGGGGAUGCUACGCAUCCCACCUUUCUUCAUCAAUAACUAUCGGUUAGCCUAUGUUGAGUCUAAAUUUUUAUUUGUCCACAUAAUAUGUGCUAUUCUUGGAGUUUCUUUUGUUUUAUUUGUUGUUUGAAAUAAAAUAUCAGAUCAAAAAAUAUUUAUUGAGAGAGAGUCCUCACAUAGCUACUUAAUUGUUUGAUUACUCAUUGAUCUUCAAUUAUAUCUUUUGAGAGUAGUUUGAUUGAAUUGCUUUAGUACUUCACUUAUAUCUUUUGCACAUACAUAAGUACACUUUUCAUAUAUCUUUUUUAUCUUCACUUAUAAGUGAAGCAAGAGAGGAUUGAAUUGCUCUACUAUCUCACUUAGGCAAGAAAUAUGCUCUCAUGCUUCACUUAGAUUAUUUUGUGAGUUAGUAGAAACUUUGAAGAAAUCCUCUCUUGCUUCACUUAUAUAAUUUUAAGAGUUGAAAAUUUUAAAGAAACUUGUGCUCUCGUGCUUCACUUAUAUUUGUUUGAGAGCUUGUUAUUAGCAAUGGCAAUUUGCUUCAAAUGAAAUUGGUCCCAAAGUGAUGAAUAUCCAAGAAGGAUAUGAUAAAAACAUCCAUAUAGAUCAUUGGAUAUGAUAAGUUUGAUUCUUUGCAAUAGUUUUGCGAUAUGGUGAUAUUAAUAUAUGAGUCGUGUUGGUGAGUAAUUAUGCUUAGUAAGAAUAUUGGUGUUAAGGUUUGUGAUUCCCUAUACAUGCACAUUAAUUAAAUAGUUAUGGUAUGAAGUUACAUCCUACUUGUGUUGCAUUAUUCGGUGUUAGUUAUGUUUAAUGUUAGCUUAUGAUGGUUUUCGUUCCUUGGUUGGGCCCUUCUCAGUCUAUUUUCUAGCCUUCACUUGUAAUAAGCGGGAAUGCUGCUUGCACAUUCAAAUCCUAAACCCAAAGUUGUGCCAAAUGAUUCCACCAUGCCUACCUAUAUCCGGUAUUUCAGUGUUGUUCUAAGUAAAUUUGUAUGUGCCAACUCUAAUAUUCAAAAUAAACUUCUGUUUUGUGUGCCCGUACCAUUCAUGAAGCGGCGAGGGGUGGCCGAUAUCUUUCAUGUUAAAUAGGUUGUUCUCAAGAUGAAUGUUUAUUUACUUGUCAUUGCACGAGAGUAUGGCGGUAAUAGGGUUGUCUAGUCCCUAAAUGCAAAGAAAUUUAUUUUAUGUUGUCAAUUCAUAAAUUCCUUGGAAAGUGAUGGUAUGGACGGUACCCGUGGAUGCGGCUAGCCAUGUAGUGUGAAAGAAUAGUGGAAAAAGGAAUAAACUUUAUUUUUAGUUUGAGAACCGCCUAUGAUUUGUUUAGCAUGGAAGAUAUUGGGAACUCUUAGUCGUUUUCGUUGAUAGGAAAAGCAUGCCACCCAAAAUAUUUUAUCUCUCAAUUUUUUUGCGUCGAGCUCUCACACCGCUAAAAAUCUCUGCUUCCCUUUGUGAAGGGCCUAUCUAUUUACUUUUAUGCAUUUUUUAUUUUUAUUUGAGUCUCCAUCUUCUCUUAUAAAGAACCAACUACGGAACACUGUUAUCAUACUUGAGCAUUGGAUGUAGCUAAUAUUUGGGUGUGUUGCAUGAACGGAUCAAUGAUUGAGCAUGAUGGGCUAGGGAUAGCGUUCUUUAGCAUUGAUAUUUUGAAAGACAUUUUUGCUUGUUGAUAUGCUUGAGUAUUAAAGUUUUCAUGUCCAAUUAUAGACUAUUGAUUUGAUUCAUUCAAGUCCAAAUGUCCAUACUACAAAAGAAAAUAGUAUAUGAUGAAUAUGAUAGGUAGCAUUCCACAUCAAAAAUUACGUUUUCAAUUGCUACUUUAUCAUGAUGAGUUUUAUAAGAAAGAGUUGUUGUUAUGAUGUUACGAAAAGUGAUUGAAAUUAUCAUUGACCAAACUUAUGCACUAUGCUAGCAUUCACACUUCAUAAAGUAUUUCUUUUAUCAUUUACCUACUUGAGGACGAGUAGGAAUUAAGCUUGGGAAACCUGAUAUGUCUCCAACGUAUCUAUAAUUAUGAAGUAUUCAUGUCAUGUUUACAACAAUUUUAUAUAGUUUUGGUAUGAUUUGCAUGGAACUAACCCGCAUUGACAUUGUUUUUAGCAGAACUGUCGUGGUGUUGUUUUUUAUGUAGAAAUAGAAGUUCUCGGAAUGCAACGAAACUUUUUGACGAUUUUUCGGAAUAAAAGAGGCACCAGAAGUUUCUUGGGAGGACCAGAAAGUGAAGGAGGUGGCCACUACCCACCAAGGCACGCCAUAGGCCUUGCCCGUGGGCUGGUGGGUAGUGGGAACCUCAUGGGCCAUCUUGGCACGAUUCCAACGCCCAAAAUCCUAUAAAUAUACAAACCCCCAUAAAUAACCCUAGAUGAGAAGUUCCGCCACAGCAAGCCUCUGUAGCCAUGAAAAACCAAUUGGGAGCCCGUUCCGGCACUCUGUCGAAGGGGGAGAUCAUCACCGGAGGCCAUCUUCAUCAUCCCUGUGGCCACCAUGAUGAGGAGAGAGUAGUCCACCCUCAGGGCCGAGGGUUUAUACCAGUAGCUAUGCGCUUAAUCUCUCUCUCUAUCUCGUGUUCUUGAGAUGUCAUGAUCUUUAUGUAUCGCGGGCUUUGUUAAUAUCGUUGGAUCAUAUGGUGUUUCUCCCUCUCUAUCUUGUUGUGAUGAAUUGAGUUUUCCCUUUGAGAUUAGUUUUAUCGGAUUGAAUAUUUUAUGGAUUUGAGAGCACUUGAUUUAUGUCUUCCUAUGAAUACCCAUGGUGACAAUGGGGUAUCAUAUUGAUUAACUUGAUGUUUGUUUUGGUACUCGACUUGUGGAUUCCCGCGGCGACACUGGGGUAUUCUAUGCAUAGGGGUUGAUGCACGUUCUCUUCUUUGUUUCUCCGGUAGAAAUCUUGGGGAACUCUUUGAGGUUUUUUGUGUUGGAUUGAGUAUUAUGAAUCUGAAUUUGUUAUGGUGGUAUUUUAGUAUGAACUCUUGGAUAGAUCGAUCGGAAAGGAUAGCUUGUUAUUUUAGUACGAACUCUUGAAAAGAUUAAUCGGAAAGAAUAACUUUGAGGUGGCUUCGUACCCUACAAACAAUUCUUCUUAUGUUCUCCACUAGAUAGGAACUUUGGGGCGAUUCUUUAUCGCACAUUGAGGGAUUGUUGUGUGAUCCAAUUAUAUUAGCAUUGUUGAGAGGUUGCACUAGCGAAAGUACGGACCCUGGGCCUCAUUUCCAAGCAUUGCAAUACCGUUUGUGCUCACUUUGUUACUCGUUACCUUGCCGUUUUUCAUUGUUACUAUUACAAAAAUCAAUAUCUACUAUCAUUACUACAAAAGUUGUGAGAAUCGAGAUUCUAAAUCGGAUCGAAGCUCCAUUGGUAGGAUCAUGAAUUGCAGAAUCAUAACUAUUAAGAUCGUAGAAACUUAGAUUCUAUGAGCAAAAUCAUAGAAUCAGAGGGUCUAGUUUGGAUCUAAGGUCGUAAGAUUCCAAGACUUGAGUCGUGAUUCUGACAACUUGGAUUACUACACUUGUAUCACCAUCUCUUCGACGAACUAGCGCAUCUAUACAAAUUACCAUUUUAUUUGGUGUGUUGGGGGCACAAGAGACUUUUUAUUAUUUGGUUGGAGGAUUAUUUUAGAGAUACCAUGUUUAUCCUACGCAUCCCAUGAAUUGAUAAACCUUUGUUCAUCCACUUGAGGGAAAAAAUUUACUGUCCUACAGAACUCUGCGCUUGGAGGCCCAACACGGGUCUACAAGAAUAAAGUUGCGUAGUAGACAUUAGAGCUGCACGAGGAGCCAACAAGGCAACAAGGUGUGCACAGGGGGGUCAAGGCGCCCUGAUGCCUUGUCGAAUCCCUAUGGACCCUCUUGCCCCAUUGUUUGCCCUAUAAAUUCUCUAAUAUUUCAAAAACCCUAAAGGCAUCCAUGAAACACUUUUAUACCACCGCAAGUCUUUGUUCCACUGCGUUCCCAUCCGGAUAUUUGUUCGGGCACUCUGCCGGAGGGGGUCGAUCACGAAGGGCCUCUUCAUCAACCUCGGUGUCCUCGUGAUGAUGUGUGAGUAGUUCACCUCAGACCUACGGGUCCUUUGCUAGUACCUAGAUGGCAAUCUCCCUCUAUCUUGAUCUUCAAUACGAUGAUCAUCGCAUCUUCGCUUUGAUCUAUCCGAUGUAAUUCUUUUGAAUGGUGUGUUUUUUGGGAUGCGAUGAAUUGUGGUUUUAUGUGCAGAUUAUUCAUGAAAAUUAUUUGAGUCUUCUCUGGAUUAUUAUUUCUCUUAUUUGCAUGAUCAUCAUAGCUUCGUAAAUCUAUCUGAUCUAUUGAAUUGCUUUGGCCAAAUAGUUUGAUCUCUUUUUAGUGGUAGAUGUGCGUUGUAGUGGGUUCAACCUCAUGAUUUUCUAUAUCCCAUCAACAGAAGGGGACAAGCUGCAUCUUUGUGUUGCUGCCACUAAGGAUAAAACAAUGGGGUUUAUUCAUAUUGAUUGAGCAUUACUCUGUUUUACUUAAUACUCUAGAUGCAUGCUGGAUAGCGGUCGAUGGGUGGAGUAAUAGUAGCAGGUGCAGGCAGGAGUCGACCUAUUUGUUGAUGGAUGUGAUGCCUAUAUGAUCAUUUCCAUGAAAAUCGAAUAACUAUCUGUUGUUCUAUCAAUUGCCCAACAGUAAUUUCUUUACCCACCAUAUGUCGCUUUUAUAAGAGAUGCCACUAGAAUACACUAGGGCCCCCGGUUCUAUUCACUUAUAUAUUCAGAAAACUUAUAUUUCCUUGCUGCCUUAUUUUAUCUUUUAUUUUCGUUAUUAUUCUCAACAAUUAUGUACACAACUCACUUGCUUGCAAAUAACAAGAACAAGGGCAUUGACAACCCUCUUGCCCGCGUUGGGUGCAAGUUGUUUGCUCUUUUGUGUGUAGCCGCUGAAGGCGGUUGAGGAUUAAUAUUCCUAUUGGUUUGAUAAACCUUGAUUUUUUAAUUGAGGGAAAUACUUACCUGCAUUGUGUUUCGAUAACCCGUUCCUCUUCAGGGAAAACCCAACGGAUAUCACAAGCAUCACUGAUCGCUAGUAUUAAGGCCAUGGAUGCUACCAUGGAUUCAGUAGGCCUUGAUGAGGGUUGGUGGGCCCACCGUUACGAGCUUAAGGAGGCCUUGCCUGGGCUCCAUAAGUUAGAAGAGAUGUAUUGGCAACAACGUGGUCACACUUCUUGGUUGCUCAAAGGAGAUUCAGUCACGGCCUAUUUUUUAGCAGUUGCGAAUGAGUGUCAUAGGGGAUGCUUUAUUCUUAGGCUUUGUAUCAAUGGAGAGGUGGUGGCCAAUCGAGAGAUCAUUAGGAGCCAUAUCCUCUCCUAUUUCUCGGACCUCCUAGCUGCCAAACCCCCUACAAACAACGCAGUGCUUAUGUUACCUCUCUCCCAUGAUGAUAUGUACUUAGUGGUCUCCUCGUCCAAAUCCAGCUCUUCUCCUGGCCUGAUGGGCUCUCCUUCUCCUUCUUCAAAAGAAUUUGGUCGGUUCUGAAGCAUCUCGUCUAUGCUAUCAUCUCAAGUUUUUGUUUGGGGACAGUUGACAUUUCGAGACUCAACUAUGCGGUUAUCUCCAUUCUCCCAUGGUCAAAGGGGCACACUCCAUUAAACUAUUUAGACCUAUUGCCCUUAUUAAGAAAAUUUCAAAGUUUCCUCCUAAGGUUUCAACACUCACAUGUCCCCGACGGCCCAUAAGGUCAUUGGAUAACAACAAUCUUCUUUUAUCAAGGGGCAUUACAUUUUAGUUGGGUUCCUCCGCUUGCAUGAAAUCAUUCAUGACCUAAAGUCUAGUAAGUGCAGUGUAGUGGUGCUGAAACUGGACUUUGAGAAGGCUUACGACUUGGUUAAUUGGUCCUUUCUUCAAGAUGUCCUGUUGGCCAAAGGAUUUGGCAGGGCAUAUGUUCGCCGGAUUAUGCAACUCGUUUGUGUGUGGGGGGCACACUGCGGCUUCUGUCAAUGGGGGUGGUAAGCCCUUCUUUAAGAAUGGUAGGCUCCCCCGCCAGGGUGAACCUACCUCUCCCCUCCUCUUUAAUUUUGUGGUUGGUGCUUUCUCUUAUAUGUUGAAUCAGGCGGCGGUGGCGAGACAUAUCCUUCUAGUCUCUUCUAAUCUCAUUCCUUCUGGUGUGACUCAUUUUCAUUAUGUCGAUGACACUAUUAUCCUUGCUGAGAAUUUUGAUCGGUAUCUAGCUGAGGUGAAAUUCCUCCUUCUUUGUUUUCAGGAGAUGUUAGGGUUUAAUAAUAUUUUUUCUAAAAGUGAAGUCCACGUUUUGGGUGCUCCUCUUGAGGAGGCUUCGUGUGUGGCUACUCUCCUAGAUUGCUCCCUUGGUUCCUUCCCCUUCAAAUACCUUGGGAUGCCCAUUUCCCCCUUUAAGCUUCUUUCUAAGGAUUUCAACUUCUAGGUGUCUAAGGUGGCCAAUAGAGUUAUGCCGUGGAGGGGCGUUCUAACUCUACUGCAGGGCGGGUGUGCCUUGACAAUGCUUGUCUAUCUUCCCUGCCUAUGUUCCUCAUGAGUUUUUACCAUCUCCCGGAAAGCAUUCACACUGGUUUUGAUAAGCACAUGAGUGGCUUUUACUGGAACAUGGCAGACAAUAAAAGGAAAUACCGCCUGGUAAAAUGGAAACUGAUGUGCAAGCCUAAGAGGGUUGGGGGUUUGGGGAUCCUCUAGACUUCCAUCAUGAACAAAUGUCUGAUACUCAAGUGGUGGUGGCGCAUCAUGUCCUCUUCUGCCGAUACCCUAUGGUUGUGUAUUCUUAAAGCCAAAUAUUUUCCGCUCUCCUCCUCCCUUAUGUGUAACCUGUGAGUGGUGCCUCUGUGUCUCAGUUUCGGUGACACAUGCUUUCUGUCUGUGAUGAUUUUCAUGCUUUGGUGAAGUUUUCAGUUGGCAACAGAGCUACGACCAAAUUCUGGUUAGAUUGGUGGAUUGGGAGGGGCCCUUGCGGAUUCAUUUCAUGUGCUUUUUUUCUUUCAUUUCUGUUCCUUAGGCCUCCAUUGAGGAGCUCGAGGAUAGGGGUUGGGUCUUUGGCUUUCAUCGGGUCUUGUCUCCUACAGAGUUGGAGGAUUGACAUCAUCUUGUUGCUCUCCUCCCCUCACUCUCGAUGGCUCAGGAUGCGGUCCUCUUUCCGCAUUCAGCCUCUGGUCUUUUUUCUGGUAAGUCUUGCUAUCAUAUCUUAUCGGUUGGCACUAUGGUGCCAAAAAUCAAUCAUGUUUUGGUGGCUCGGGUGCCCCUGAAGAUCAAGAUUUUCAUGUGUCGGGCCCUAAGGGGCUGGCUUCCGGCUGCAAAGCAGAUUAAGAAAAGGCGUGGUUUGGGUUCUAAAUUCUAUGCCCUUUACGGACAACCUGAGGAUACUAGUCAUAUUUUGUUCCAUUGCCCCUUGGCCCUAUUGUUUUGGAGUUUGUCUCACAGAGUGGUUGCGUGUAGGUCUUAGGUUGUGGCUAGUUUUGAUGAGUUGCGGCCGCUUGGGUCAUCCCUUUUCGGCCAAACAAGGAGGUUAUUUUGGUUUGGCUCUCAACCAUGUGUUGGACCCUUUGGACAACCAAAAAUAAAUUUACUAUCGAAUAGGUGUUUCCGAACAUGGCGGUUGACUGUAUUUUCAAAUUUUCUAUCUAUUUGAAGUAGUGAAAAUCUGUGAUUAAAGAUGGACACAAGGUGGUUGUGGAUCUCCUCAUCUCUCGUGUUCAUGUUUUGGCAGCUGUCAGGCUGGCCAUAGUGGGAAGUAACAUAUAGUAGUAUCAUGCAUAUGAUAUUAUUGUAUGAUACUGCUCCCUCCAUUUCAGUUUAUAAGUUCGGCACGUGUAUCUAGGUCGUCAAUUUGACCAACUUAAUGAUAAUCAUAUAUUACAAAAAAUAUAUCAUUAAAAACUUUAGAUGUUCUAUUUUUAUAAUGAUAUAAUUUUAUAUUAAACAAUAGAUUUUAUAUACUUCCUCCAUCAUAGUAUAUUGGGCGUAUCUCAUAGGGCUCUCGGACCGAGAUGUUUUUCUAUUGGUAGGAAAAACCGAGCCGACGAGCUGUAAAAGCGCCUAAUUAAUCGCAAAACUGACGCAUUAGUAACCCCCCGUCCACUAAACGAGCAACUUCCUCGCAUGCAUUGGUGGAGAUGGUUUUCAAAACACCCCAAUUAAUAGGCUAAUUAAUGCCAUGCGUCUUAUUUCCUUCUAAUUGUGAAAAAUUGUCGUUUUGGAGAUACGCCCAAUAUACUAUGAUGGAGGGAGUAAGUUAAAUUGACGAUCCAGGUACACGUGUGUGCCUUAUAAACUUUGACGGAGGUUGAAAGGAUCAAUAUGGUUGACUAGAGGGGGGUGAAUAGGCAACUACCAAUUUUUAGCUUUUUUAAAUAAAUAAGGAGUAGCAAUCAUAAAGGUUCACUAACAUGACACUAGGAGGACAACCUAUAUGAUGCUACUUAUCAACGAGUAAAUAAGAAUGUAGGAGCUACUCUACAAUACCAAAAAAUACAAAGUAAAGGUAAGAGAUAACCACAAGUGGAACCGAUGAAGACGAGGAUGUGUUACCAAAGUUCCUUCCCUUUGACACGAAGUAUGUCUCCGUUGGAGCGGUGUGGAGGCACAAUGCUCCCCAAUAAGCCACUAGGGCCACCGUAUUCUCCUCACGCCCUCGCAUAAUGCAAGGUACCGUGAUUCCACUAUAGGUGCUCUUGAAGGCGGCGAUAGAACCUUUACAAACAAGGUUGGGGCAAUCUCCACACAAAGCUUGGAGGCUCCCAACAAGACCACGGAGCUUCACCACAACGGAAUGUGGCUCCGAGGUGACCUCAACCGUCUAGGGUGCUCAAACACCCAAGAGUAACAAGAUCCGCAAGGGAUUAGUAGGGGACAUCAAAUAUCCUUUGGUGGAAGUGUAGAUCAAGGCCUUCUCAAGCAAUCCCUAGAAAAUCAACAACGUUGAUUGGCUAGGGAGAGAGAUCGGGAUAAAAUGAGCUUGUGGAGCAACAAUGGAGCUUAGAGAGGUUAAAGGUGGGAUCUAGGAAGAAGAAGAUGCAUUUAUAUAGUAGGGGAGGCAGAUCCAACCGUUACCCACCUACCACAUAAAUGCACGAGCGAUACUACUGCUUCCCAGAGCGGUACUACCGCUCCUGGGAGCGGUACUACCGCUCAGCUCCUCACCAACCACGGUAGUACCAGGGUACUACCGUGCCACCACCUCCGUGGGAAAGUAUGCGAGAAAAAGCCCGUCGGUGCGGUAGUAAAUUAAUACUACCGCACUAAGGGCGGUAGUACCGCCCUUGGAGCGGUAGUAAAAACUACUACCGUUCUUCGGGCGGUAGUACCGCUCCUGGAGCGGUAGUAAAAGUUUACUACCGCACGUGGGAAGGUUGUACCGCUCCUGGAGCGGUAGUAAAAAUUUACUACCGCUCUGAGAGCGGUACUACCGCUGGUACAGCGGUACUACCUCUUACCCUUUUUCGUAUAGGCAAGGAAACACACAAUGGUGCUCCAUUGAAGCUAAAAUAUGGGUGGGUGCAUGAGGUGUGUGCGUGAGGAUUCCACCCAAACCUUUCCGACGCGGACCCCCUCUUGGUAAGACGACUUUCCUAUGACUCAAACUAGGAAGAGAAAUGUAGAAGAAAAUCCGUCUUCGAGAACCUCCGAGGGGCGUCGAGUCAUCUUGUUCCUAGAAGAGAAUAUUCUGAAAUGCUCAGGACACAGGAUUAGUUCGCACAACAAUUGUCAUCAAUCACUAAAACCACUUAGGAGAAAUAUGCCCUAACAAUCUCCCCCUUUUUGGUGGAUUGAUGACAAUGUUGGAUUUGCACAGAAAAAUAGAGAUAGGCAUAUGCAAACUCCAAAGAUAUCACCAGGGGGCUAGUUUCCUCUGGGUAUGUGCAUACCAACAACUAACCACAGAGAGAACACUCCCCCUAGAUUAUAUAGACUAAGCCAUCCUUACUACAUACGUACGAGGGAUGAAGAAUAUUGAAGCAUGGCAAAGCAUGUGAGCAAAGGUAUACUGGCACAAGAUACUAUGUCUCACAGGUUAAUAAUAAUAUGGAUAAAACUGAUAAUACUGAGACAAAAGAUAAGGAAGAUAAAACAUAUAUCUCACAUUAAGAUAGGAUCUGAUGACUCAGUCUCAACCAUAAAGCAAAAGCAGCGAACGAAAGCAACAAAGUUUUAUCAAACCAAUAGACCAGAAAAACUAGAAAACGAGCAAAUCCUACACUCUCUCCCCCUUUGACAUCGAAACACCAAAAAGGAAGAGAGGAGCCCUUCGACCCAGGUGGUAGAAACAUCAGUCGGUGUCCUCCUCAUCACGAUACUCCUCAUCUGAGUCAUCGUCGAUGUCCUCCUCAGAUGCAGCCCACUGAAGUCGAUGCUUCACCAUCCAUUCAGCCUUAGGGGUGAUCUCACGCUCAGAACCGCUGGAGAAGGGCAGGUCAAGCUUCCUCAUGAUCAAUUUGUCAUGCUGGCGACUCUCCUUCUGAGCAACAUGUGUUCUGUACUGGCCCUUGGCCUGCAUACAGAACAGGGUCUUCAUCCUAUCCGUGAGCCGUGUGGGCCAUGAUGGUUCCGCAGAUGUGUGGGAACCCUCACCCUGUCGAUGAGCCUCUGGAGGAGCCUCAUCCUCAGCGUCUGGAAGAUUGUCAUCAGAAUCCCUUGGGGCAGCCGGACGAGAGGAGGUGUUGGCCCAUUUGUCCUUCUGACGCAGCUUGAUGGGCUCAUGGAGGACCCAAUGAGGAGCAAGAAACUCAGCACCGGGGAAGGUCUUGGUCCAAGUGGCCUUGAUAAAGUAGAAUAGGUAGGGACCGUAGAUUGGGACCUUAUGGUUAAUGACUGCAGAGUAGAGCUCAGUCCACAUGACAUGAGAAACAUCAAGGGGCUGACACUGACGAUUCUUCGCUUUCUGACACAUGAGAAGCAUGUCUACCAGGUAAGAGUGCACUUGGUCCUUGUUGCCAACCCUGGUAAACAACGUGUUGCGAAAAAUCCGGUGCAUCACAUCCAAGAAGGGGUUCAUGACAUAGGAUACCUCGCCAGUGGGGGUGUCCUUCACAGAGAGGUACGGGAGCAGCUUCUCCUUUGGAGCGGCUUGAGGCUUGGCAUGGGGGUGCAAGCCAACAGCAGUAGUGAGGCCCUCAUCCCUGACCUGAAGAAGAUCCAUGAAGUCUUUCCAGGUAGCAGUCAGCUGCACUCCAUUUGUCAACCAAGUCAUAGUACGAGCCUCAUCAUGGUGAAAGUGCACUGUAGCAAAGAAGUGAGCUACAAUGGAAAUGUCAAAAUCCUGUUGAAACGAGAUGAGGUCCGCAAUCUGAAGUUGUUCCACCAUAGCAAUGGCCUCCCCAAAAUAAGACAUGUCCUUCCUCAAAUGAUCAAGAUCAAUCCACUGCACCAGGACAUAUAGGUUCUUCUUCGACCUGAGAACAUCUUCAUAGAUUAAGAAUUGAUUGCGAUUCCAAAAUAGUUCACCGACAGGGAAGUUCUCCCUAUUGUUGGCAUAUGGGUUGAGCUUGCGACGGUGUUGGAACUCGGCAAGCGGCAUGGUGUUCCAGUUGACUGAGGGCUUCUUUGGACCAGGCUUCUUGAACGAGCGCUUGGGGGCAUUGGAGCCUUCAGGCGGAUCAGAGGAAGAUCGCUUGGAACUGGCAGUGCGAGACGGGUUGGGACGACGGGAACCACCACCUGGGACACGCAAACAACACACAAAACACGAAAGAAAGGAGAAACAAGUCAAGGCAACGAUCAAGAAAUACCAGAAAACCCAUAAAACACAAUAGAUUAGUGUGUGUGCACAAAGGGGAGCGGUAGUAAAAUUUUACUAGCGCUCUGGAAGAGGUAGUACCGCCUUGAGGGCGGUAGUACCGCACGGGACGGCCUAAUCACAGAUCUAUGCAAAUUUUACAGGGAAAAACUUGUGAAGAAGAUUGAAAACCUUAGAUCUAGAUCCUAUGCACGCCUAGACACACACACCGCCUAUGCAAGGAAUCAUACUACCAAAAAGCUGCCACUAAAUCCCAAUCACGAUGCCAUGAGACCAUAUGCCCUAACCCUAGAUUGAAUCAACGAUCAAAGCAUAAGAGUGCAGAUGAGGGGCAGUACCGGUGUCCAUGGCGCGUGGGGAAGAGUCCCACCGGUCGGAAUCGGAGGACGAUGGCCGGAUAGGGAGAUCCGGCGAUGCCUUAGGGCAGUUUUUGAGGAGAGGAGAGAGAGACAGAGAAGAACUCGGGGCUGAGGGGGAAAGAGAAAGGCCUCCCAGCCCUUUAAAUAGUCCCCUGGGCGAGGCGGCGCGGUAGUACCGUAGUCAUCGCGGUAGUACCGCGCCCACAACGGUAGUAAAAAAUUAGUACCGUGCUGGGGGCGGUAGUACCGCAUGGUGAGCGGUAGUACCGCUCCCCCAGCGGUAGUAAAUUUUUACUACCGUGCUGGGGGCGGUAGUACUGUUCUCGAAGUCACAAAAUGGCCACAAAAUGAACUCUCUACUCCUUAGGUGGUGGAAAAACUUGAUCAAGCCAAGAGAAAACAAAACACGGAAGCAAGAAAGACACACCGAAAGAAAAGAAACAACACAGAGUCUCCAGGGGAGAGGGCGGUGGCCGAGGCCACCUAUGUUUGAGACAAAUGGUAUGACACCGCGAAGAAUUAUCCUUGGUUUCAUGACCAUAUCUCGUCUUUGAAGCACAAGUGCCAUUUGGUGAUGGCCAAAGUGAAAGACUUGAUCGAUUUAUGCAUAAUGGGGGGAGGGAAAGUUCAUUGAGAGAACAACACUCCCCCUAUGUCCAUGCCUACAUCUAGAGCAAGAUAUAAUGUAGAGUAAGGUGCAAAGUGCCUAGUUUCAAUCCACAUUACUUGAAUCAAUGAUAUUUAGCUCAUGCCUUAACUCCCGGAACCUUGCUUCAUCUAGGGGCUUAGUGAAAAUAUCUGCAAGUUGCUCUUCAGUGUUGAUGAAGUGAAUCUCAAUAUCAGCUAGCUUGAUAUGUUCACGAAUGAAGGGAUGGCGAAUAUCAAUGUGCUUGAUCUUGCUGUGUUGAACCGGAUUGAGAGAAAUCUUGAUAGCACUUUGAUUGUCACAUAGGAGAGGCACUUUGUCACAAGUGACACAGUAGUCCUUUAGAGUUUGCCUCAUCUAUAACAACUGGGCACAACAACUUGCAGCUGCUACAUACUCAGCUUCGGUGGAGGAUAGUGAGACACAAUUCUGCUUCUUUGAAGACCAACUUACCAGUGAACGACCAAGGAAUUGACAUCCUCCAGAGGUUGACUUCCUCUUCACAUAGUCUCCUGCCCAAUCUGAGUCAGAAUAGCCCACUAGGUUAAAGUUUGCUCCUUUGGGAUACCAUAGACCAAAGUUUGGGGUAUGAGCCAAAUAUCGAAAGAUUCGUUUGACAUCCAUGUAAUGGCUUUCCUUUGGUGAGGAUUGAAACCGUGCACAAAUCCCUACACUCAACAUGAUAGCUGGUCUAGAUGCACAAAGGUAAAGGAGGGAUCCAAUCAUGGAGCGAUAUACCUUUUGAUCCACUACUUUACCAUUGGGAUCACUGUCAAGCUUGCAUCGUGUUGGCAUGGGAAACUUGACCGGCUUGACAUCCUCUAGCUCAAACCUCUUGAGCAUGUCUUGAGUGUACUUGGCUUGUUUGAUGAAAGUCCCUUCUAAGCCUUGUUUGAUCUCGAACCCGAGGAAGAACUUCCACUUUCCCAUCAUAGACAUCUCAAAUUCCUCGGUCAUCAGUGCAACAAAUUCUUCAUUGAAAGAUUCGUUAGGAGAACCAAAAAUGAUGUCAUCAACAUAUAGUUGGCAUAUGAACAAAUCCCCUUUGACCCUCUUAGUAAAAAGAGUGGGAUCAAUCUUCCCAAUUUCAAACCCACGAUCUUGUAACAACUCAGUAAGAUACUCAUACCACGCACGUGGGGCUUGUUUAAGGCCAUAGAGUGCCUUAUUCAGUUUGUACACAUGAUUGGGGAGCUUGGGUUGUUCGAACCCCGGGGGUUGUUUGACAUAGACCAACUCAUUUAAAGGACCAUUAAGAAAGGCACUUUUCACAUCCAUUUGUUGUAAUUUGAAAUUAUGAUGAGAAGCAAAUGCAAGCAUCAUGCGAAUAGAUUCUAGACGAGCAACAGGUGCAAAGGUUUCACCGUAGUCGAUACCCUCGACUUGGGAGUAGCCUUGAGCCACCAAUCUUGCCUUGUUUCGAAUCACAAUCCCAUUGGCAUCUUGCUUGUUUUUUAAGAUCCAUUUGGUCCCAAAGACAUUAUGUUCCUCCUUUGGCCUUGGCACUAAAUCCCAUACUUGAUUGCACUCGAAGUUGUUGAGUUCUUCAUGCAUGGCCAUAAGCCAAUCCUCAUCAUCGAGCGCUUCCUGUACCUAUUGAGGUUCACAGUACGAAACAAACGCGUGAUGCUCACAAUAAUUCCAAAUUUGUUGACGAGUGGAUACUCCCCUUUUCAAACUACCAAGUACAUUCUUCAUAAGAUGUGACUUGACUCUCAGCUUGUUCACAAUCUUGGUUGCGCGACGCUCCAAGAGUUCUUCAUUUGAUAACUGGAGAACAUCGACAUGAUUACUUUGCUUGCCCUUGCGUUUUGAUCCUCCCUUGGCACCAGUACCCCUUUUAGGCGCUGCAGAAGGGAAUUGAGAGACAACAUCCUGAUCAACUUGAUCUUCGACUUGAGCAGGUUCACUAGUUUGUCCUUGUUCUUGUGGUUGCUCUUGAUCUUGAUCUUGUGCUUCUAUUUGGUCUGGAUCAUGUGGUUGCACUUGAUCUUGAUCUUGAGCAGGUUCGGAACCUUGGGUGAGUGCUUGUACUUCAUGGGACACGUCACCAUCUUUAGGCAAUUGGUCCUGAUCUUGAGUUUGUUCAACUUGUUGAGGGUCUUCUCUUUGUUCAUCGGAAGCGUGUGGGACUUGUGAGGAUGAUGGCUCCACUUGAGUAGAGCAUUGUCCUUCUCCUUCGUCCACAAGGGGUUCCUCAAUGGGGAGUAUUUGACCAAUCCCCAUUCUUCUUAUGGCUUGGGGAGGAAUUUCAUCCCCUACAUCACAAAGACCACUUUACUCCACUUGGGAGCCAUUAUUUUCAUCAAACUCCACGUUACACGUCUCCUCAAUGAGUCUGGUGGACUUGUUGAGGACACGGUAAGCAUGAGAGUUUGUAGCAUAACCAACAAAUAUGCCCUCAUGUGCUCUAGAAUCAAAUUUAGCUAAACGUGCACCUUUCUUGAGAAUGAAACACUUACACCCGAAUACCCGGAAGUACUUGAGAUUGGGUUUGUUUCCGGUGAGAAUCUCAUAUGGGGUCUUGUUCAAGCCUUUGCGGAUAUAGAGCCGAUUGGACACAUGACAUGCUGUGUUGAUGGCUUCGGCCCAAAAGUUAUAUGGAGAUUUGAAUUCCGCCAUCAUUGUUCUUGCAGCAUCCAUCAGUGUCCGGUUCUUCCUUUCCGCCACACCAUUUUGUUGAGGGGUAUAUGGUGCCGAAUGUUGAUGUUUUAUUCCCUCGUCACCUAGAAACUCAUCCAAGGUGUAGUUCUUGAACUCGGUGCCGUUGUCACUUCUGAUCAUCAAAAUCUUUGCUUCAUGAUGACGUUGAGCUUCGUUAGCAAAGUUGAUAACAGUUUGUUGAGUCUCACUCUUCCUCUUGAAGAAAUAUACCCAAGUGUAUCUUGAGUAAUCAUCAACAAUCACCAAGCAGUACUUUCUGCCCCCAAGACUAUCAAAUGAUGGGGGACUGAAGAGAUCCAUAUGAAGGAGCUCCAACGGUCUCUUAGUGUAAAUGAGAGUCGUUGGACGAUGAGCAGUUUCAUGGAUUUUUCCUUCAAUGCAGGCACUUCAAGCACGAUCUCUGGCAAAACUCACAUUUGUUAGUCCACGAAUAUGGUCCCCUUUAAGGAGACUUUGCAAAGAUCUCAUAUUGACAUGAGCUAGUCGGCGAUGCCAAAGACAGCCCACAUCAACUUUAGCCAUUAGACAUGUCGCAGUCUUAGUGGGUCGCUUUGAAAAGUUCACCACAUAGAGACCAUUUUCGACAUGUCCAACAUAGGCUACUUUAAGAGUCUUGCUCCACAAAAGGACCACAAUAUCAAGAUUAAAGAAUGUGGAAAAGCCCGUAAUUGCAAGUUGACGAACCGAUAGUAAAUUAUAAGCAAGGGACUCAACAAGCAUGAACUUCUCAAUAGAUAACUCUUGAGAGAUGAUCACCUUACCAAAUCCCAAUACCUUUGACGAUGAUGCAUCGGCGAAUUGGACAUGGGUGGGCAUAGAUGGGGAAGGAUGCACAUCCACCACUAAGUCCUUGCUUCCGGUGAUAUGAUUUGUUGCUCCACUAUCGAGCAACCAUGACACCCUCCGGAAGCAAACUCCUGCAAUAGAUCAAGGCUUGGUUUUAGGUACCCAUUUUUGAAUGGGUCCUUUAAUGUUAGAGACAAGGGUCUUAGGAACCCAAAUUGCACAUUCAAUGUACUCAUAGUAUGAACCAACAAAUCUGGCAUAAACAUGCCCAUCACCAGCAUGACAUAAAACAUAGGAAGGAUUUAGUUUGUCGGCUGUGUUGGUAGGAAUGGUUUUGCCCUUCUUGAUGCUCCCAUUUUCCACCUUGUUCCUGUUCACCUCCUGAUUCCCUUCGCCCUCUUUGACAAAGAUAUCCAUGAGGGUGGGGGAUCUGUUGUUCCUGUUCUUUCUUUUUCUUUUAGACUUAGAUGUAAUUCCAAGCCCCUCCUUUCCUACCACACCCUUUUGAUUGCUCAAAAGGUCGUUCAGGCUCUUCUUGCCUUGGAUGCAUGACACAAGGCCCUUCUCAAGUUUAUCCUUCAACUUGGCAUUUUCCUCCACAAGAUGUACAUGCUCACAACAAGGGUUAGUUGUACAAGCAUUAUCAAUUAAAACAAAAGUAGGACAAGUAGAGAUUUCCUUGGUAAUCUUUGCUUGAAGUUGAUCAUGAGACUCUUUCAGGGAGAAAUGACUACCUUUCAAGGCCUUGUGAGCCUUGUCAAGUGUGUCAAACUCCAUUUUGAGUCUGUCAUGGUCAACCCCAAGAGCAUCCUUUUCAGACUGAAGCAUACGAGUAAGAACAGUAGCAUGAUCUAGUUUCUUUUGCAAUUUAGCACAGUCAUCGUUGUAUGACUCCUCAGGAGCCAAACGAAGAGUGCGCUCCGUUUCUAGUGCAGUAGAAAGUUCAGCAAUCUCAUCGGCAUAGUCAUGACUAUGACCUUGCAUCUCGGAGAUGGUCUCCUCAUGAGACUCGAUGAGGUCAUUAGCCUCACCCAAUUGUUCCAAAAGGGCAACAAAGUGCCUCUUGGUUUCUCCUUUGAUAGUACACAGAAAUUUGUCAAGAUCAUGCUCAUUAAGUUCUACAACAUCACUAUCAUCAACACAAUUCAACAAUGAGGGAGCACUAGUGAUGUUGGUCUUAAUGUUGGGUAUUACCUGAGUGAUACCUUUGGCCAUGAGGCACUUGGCGAUGUGAUUAUCGUUGGGGGCGUUGAAGAGAGAGACAUUCUUGGGAGAAGGAGUGGCGAUAGCGACAGUCGCAGUUGCCACCAUAUCAUCAUCAUCAUCAUCAUCAUCGGAGGGGUACUCUUCAAGUGCCACCUGUUGGGGAACGUCGCAUGGGAAACAAAAAAUUUCCUACGCGCACGAAGACCUAUCAUGGUGAUGUCCAUCUACGAGAGGGGAUGAGUGAUCUACGUACCCUUGUAGAUCGUACAGCAGAAGCGUUUAGAGAACGCGGUUGAUGUAGUGGAACGUCCUCACGUCCCUCGAUCCGCCCCGCGAACAAUCCCGCGAUCAGUCCCACGAUCUAGUACCGAACGGACGGCACCUCCGCGUUCAGCACACGUACAGCUCGACGAUGAUCUCGGCCUUCUUGAUCCAGCAAGAGAGACGGAGAGGUAGAAGAGUUCUCCGGCAGCGUGACGGCGCUCCGGAGGUUGGUGAUGAUCUUGUCUCAGCAGGGCUCCGCCCGAGCUCCGCAGAAACACGAUCUAGAGGAAAAACUAUGGAGGUAUGUGGUCGGGCAGCCGUGAAAAAGUCGUCUCAAAUCUGCCCUAAAAGCCCCAUAUAUAUAGGAGGAGGGAGGGGAACCUUGCCUUGGGGUCCAAGGGAUCCCCAAGGGGUCGGCCGAGCCAAGGGGGGGAGGACUCCCCCCCCAAACCGAGUUGGACUUGGUUUGGUGGGAGGAGUCCCCCUCCCUUCCCACUUCUUCCCUCCUUUUUUUUUCCUUUGAUUUUCUUAUCUUGGCGCAUAGGCUUCCUUGGGGCUGUCCCACCAGCCCACUAAGGGCUGGUGUGUUCCCCCAAAGCCUAUGGGCUUCCCCGGAGUGGGUUGCCCCCCUCCGGUGAACUCCCGGAACCCAUUCGUCAUUUCCCGGUACAUUCCCGGUAACUCCGAAAACCUUCCGGUAAUCAAAUGAGGUCAUCCUAUAUAUCAAUCUUCGUUUCCGGACCAUUCCGGAAACCCUCGUGACGUCCGUGAUCUCAUCCGGGACUCCGAACAACAUUCGGUAACCAACCAUAUAACUCAAAUACGCAUAAAACAACGUCGAACCUUAAGUGUGCAGACCCUGCGGGUUCGAGAACUAUGUAGACAUGACCCGAGAGACUCCUCGGUCAAUAUCCAAUAGCGGGACCUGGAUGCCCAUAUUGGAUCCUACAUAUUCUACAAAGAUCUUAUCGUUUGAACCUCAGUGCCAAGGAUUCGUAUAAUCCCGUAUGUCAUUCCCUUUGUCCUUCGGUAUGUUACUUGCCCGAAAUUCGAUCGUUGGUAUCCGCAUACCUAUUUCAAUCUCGUUUACCGGCAAGUCUCUUUACUCGUUCCGUAAUACAAGAUCCCGUAACUUACACUAAGUCACAUUGCUUGCAAGGCUUGUGUGUGAUGUUGUAUUACCGAGUGGGCCCCGAGAUACCUCUCCGUCACACGGAGUGACAAAUCCCAGUCUUGAUCCAUACUAACUCAACCAACACCUUCGGAGAUACCUGUAGAGCAUCUUUAUAGUCACCCAGUUACGUUGCGACGUUUGAUACACACAAAGCAUUCCUCCGGUGUCAGUGAGUUAUAUGAUCUCAUGGUCAUAGGAAUAAAUACUUGACACGCAGAAAACAGUAGCAACAAAAUGACACGAUCAACAUGCUACGUCCAUUAGUUUGGGUCUAGUCCAUCACGUGAUUCUCCUAAUGACGUGAUCCAGUUAUCAAGCAACAACACCUUGUUCAUAUUCAGAAGACACUGACUAUCAUCGAUCAACUGGCUAGCCAACUAGAGGCAUGCUAGGGACGGUGUUUUGUCUAUGUAUCCACACAUGUAAAUGAGUCUUCAUUCAAUACAAUUAUAGCAUGGAUAAUAAACUAUUAUCUUGAUACAGGAAUUAUAAUAAUAACUAUACAUUUAUUAUUGCCUCUAGGGCAUAAUUCCAACACCACCAUACCCUUUGGAUGGGGUUUCUUGACAAAGUUGUUCUUGCUUGGGAAUGACUUUGUUUUGUCUUUGCGAAUGAGCUUGCCUGUGUUGUCUUCCCUCUUCUCAUAAGGACAUUCCGCCACGAAGUGGCUCACAUUACCACAGUUAUAGCAUGUCCUCACUCGUUGCUUGGGUUUGAACCCGCUUGAGUUGUUCUUGGUGAAGUUGGGUCUUGAAUUCCUCUUGUUGCCCCAGAAUUGCCUGGACUCAAGAGCCAUGUGCUCGUGAUAAGCAUACUUAGUGUCUUCAGGGCAGCUCUACUCUUCCUCAUCCUCCUCUUCUUCUUCAGAAGCAGCCUUUGCCUUCAAAGCAAGGUUAGGUGAAGCUGUCUUUGACCGAACUCGAGCAAGUGCAUUGUCAGCGGUCUCGUUCAUGAUUGACAUUGCAAUGAAUUCGUCCAACACCUCACUGGAAGACAAGGAGUGGAAAUCUGGUCGUUGGCGAAUGACUGAUGACAUGGCUUUGUUGAAAGGCAUGAUGGCCUUGAGAAACUUAUGCUUGACCCAUGUGUCAUCCACAUCCUUGCUCCCAUGAUCCUUGAGAGCAACAACAAUAGCAGUCACCCUCCGAUAGAGAUCACGAGGGUCCUCAUCUUCCUUCAUUACAAACUCAUCGGCCUUAUCAAGUAUCACUUCAUAGUUUGACCGUUGAAUUAUAGAGCUUCCCUUGUAUAGCACCAUAAUGUGCUCCCAACAGUCUUUGGCCAGAGACAAGGGGCGCAAGUGAGGAAGAUCUUCAGGCGGUACUUCGGACUAUAGAAUAAACAAUGCGGAGUGAUUAUAUUGAUUGCCCGCUUCUUCUCUUGGAGUGAAGUUGCUUGGGUCAUGAGGAUAGUAGCCUUGCUCGAUGAUUCUUCAUAAAUUUGUUGAGCUGUGAUUCAAAUGAGACUUAAUAGAAAACACCCAGUUAGCAAAAUCACCCUUAACAAGCUUAGGAGGAGGACCAACAGGAUUAAGACGCGGUGUGGGAACGGGUCCUCCAUACACCAUGGGAGGUGGAACUGAGGCAUAGGUUCCAGUCCCAUCCUUUUUGAGAGAUGAGGAAGGUCGCAUACCUUUAGCCGCUUCCUUAGAGGAAUUGGCCUCUGAAUCGGUGAUGGUGGGUUUAACCACUAACACCGGUUCGGGUGAACUUUUAAUUCCCACAAUUAACUCUUUAAGCAUGGUCUUGACUUCGUUCGUCAAGGACGUCUUGAGGGCGGCCAUAGCCGUAUUCAAGUCGUCCCUUGUGACCGAAGUCAAGUCCAUGGCCUCGGGUUGCCCAUGGGGAACUCCCUCUUUGUCUUCCAUACUCUUCGGGUGGUGAAACCCUUAAUAAAGAGACGUGGCUCUGAUACCAAUUGAAAGUAUCGAUAUGGUUGACUAGAGGGGGGGUGAAUAGGCAACUACCAAUUUUUAGCUUUUCUAAAUAAAUAAGGAGUAGCAAUCAUAAAGGUUCACUAACAUGACACUAGGAGGACAACCUAUAUGAUGCUACUUAUCAACGAGUAAAGAAGCACGUAGGAGAUACUCUACAAUACCAACAAAUACAAAGUAAAGGUAAGAGAUAACUACAAGUGGAACCGAUGAAGACGAGGAUGUGUUACCGAAGUUCCUUCCCUUUGACAGGAAGUACGUCUCCGUUGGAGCGGUGUGGAGGCACAAUGCUCCCCAAUAAGCCACUAGGGCCACCGUAUUCUCCUCACGCCCUCGCACAAUGCAAGGUACCGUGAUUCCACUAUAGGUGCUCUUGAAGGCGGCGACCGAACCUUUACAAACAAGGUUGGGGCAAUCUCCACACAAAUCAUGGAGGCUCCCAACAAGACCACGGAGCUUCACCACAACGGAAUGUGGCUCCGAGGUGACCUCAACCGUCUAGGAUGCUCAAACACCCAAGAGUAACAAGAUCCGCAAGGGAUUAGUAGGGGGAAUCAAAUAUCCUUUGGUGGAAGUGUAGAUCAAGGCCUUCUUAAGCAAUCCCUAGAAAAUCAACAAGGUUGAUUGGCUAGGGAGAGAGAUCGGGCUAAAAUGAGCUUGUGGAGCAACAAUGGAGCUUAGAGAGGUUAAAGGUGGGCUCUAGGGAGAAGAAGAUGCCUUUAUGUAGUAGGGGAGGCAGAUCCAACUGUUAUCCACCUAUCACAUAAAUGCACGAGCGGUACUACCGCUCCUGGAGCGGUACUACCGCUCAGCUCCUCACCAACCACGGUAGUACCGGGGUACUACCGUGCCACCACCUCCGUGGGAAAGUAUGCGAGAAAAAGCCCGUCGGUGCGGUAGUAAAUUAAUACUACCGCACUGAGGGCGGUAGUACCGCCCUUGGAGCGGUAGUAAAAUACUACUACCGUUCUUCGGGCGGUAGUAUCGCUCCUGGAGCGGUAGUAAAAGAUUACUACCGCACCUGGGAAGGUAGUACCGCUCGUGGAGCGGUAGUAAAAAUUUACUACCACUCUGACAGCGGUACUACUGCUGUGCCAGCGAUACUACCGCUGUACAGCGGUACUACCGCUUAUCCUUUUUCGCAUAGGCAAGGAAAACACAAUGGUGCUCCAUUGAAGCUAAAAUAUGGGUGGGUGCAUGAGGUGUGUGCGUGAGGAUUCCACCCAAACCUUUCUGACGCGGAGCCCCUCUUGGUAAGAAGACUUUCCUAUGACUCAAACUAGGAAGAGAAAUGUAGAAGAAAAUCCGUCUUCGAGAACCUCCGAGGGGCGUCGAGUCAUCUUGUGCCUAGAAGAGAAUAUUCUGAAAUGCUCAGGACACAGAAUUAGUCCGCACAACAAUUGUCAUCAAUAAACUAAAACCACUUAGGAGAAAUAUGCCUUAACAGAGGUAGUACCUUUAUAGUGCAUAAUAUCAUAAAUUAGUACUUCCUCCGUCACGGUUUAGAAGGCACAGUUAAACUUGCGUUCGUUUCCAAAAUAUACAAGGUCUAUGGCGUGAAAGCAAUUACUCUAAUUAAUUAGUACUAGUACUACUCUUGCAUGCAUAGUGGAGAGUAUCAUAUAGUAGUAUCAUGCAUAUGAUUCUAUUGUAUGAUACUACCUCUAUAAUGCAUAGUAUCAUAAAGUAGUAUCAUAGACGACCUCAUUUAUUGACAUGCAAAACAUAUUGUAGCAUUACAUUUAACAUGUUAUGGUAUCUACGUAUGUUACUCUAACCCUCUCUCUCAUCUUUAAUUGCCUGCCACAUCAGCAUGUUUGCUAGUCCCAAGAGCAUGAUACUACCUAAGUUACUCCCACUAUGGCCAGCCUAAUUUGCUGCUCACGCAUUAAUACUAGUAUUUUCUCAGUUGAUUAGAUGCAUUAGCAUAUAGACAUACUACAUCUCACAACCAAUCGAUGACUACCUUGGUUUCAGAGAUUUUCCAAACAUGUCUUCUAAACCGUGACGGAGGGAGUAUCAUAGGUGAUCUUAUUUAUUGCCAUGCAUGAUACAAAGUAGCAUUGCAUUUAACAUGAUACGGUAUCUACCUAUGUUACUCUAACCUUCGCUUUCUUCUUUAAUUCUCUACCACAUCAGCAUGUUUGCUAUUCCCGAGUAUAUGUUACUAGCUAAGAUACUCCCACUAUGGCUAGCCCCAUUUGCGAGGUGACUCGGUGUAGUUGGUGCGCUUAGCCUUUCGCAGCGGUCCUUUUGAUUUCUUUUGAGUGGCUCGCAUGCCAGUUGUGGUCGGUUGUGGCCGUUGUUUGUUGCUACUCAUGUGUUGUGUGUUACCUGAUUGCAUGUUGGCUUUGGAGGAUGCUUGGAUACGUUUUAGUCCCAUGAUUAAAAGUAGUGGAACUAAAACUUGCUAGCCUCAUCCAUGCUUGGAUCCAAAUACUAAAAAGACUAAAAUCAAGUUAAUGAACAUUUAUUAUCCUUCAAACCAUCCAAUCCAAAACUCGCAUGUGUUAAAGGAGAGGAGUUAAAUGAGGAGAGAGAGAACUAAUCUACAUUUUAGUAUGGGUACCCUCACUAAAUUUUUUUAGUCUCAAGACUAGUUUUAACCCCUCUUUAGUCAGGGGUGCUUGAAACUUUAGCCUCUUAAAAAGACUACUUUUAGUCAGACUAGUUUUAGUCGCUUGGAUCCAAACACCCUCUUAUUAAUUUAAAGUCAAACUCGGGCCUUUUCUAUAAGAAAAAGAGUACUUGAUUGUUUACAUAGUGUAUAAAUUAUUAAUAUAGGCAGGAGAUUUAAUCUUAGUGACUAAUGUGUAAAUUCGACUUGAAAAAUGCACGGAACCUGGGCCAGGUAAGAGCAGCGGCGAGAAACUUGACUCUUUAGGUCACCAAGGUCGUCGUCAAUCACGCUGUAUCCGAGAUUUCUGUCCUUGUUUCGUCUGACUCAAGUUGCAACGAGACAUACGACUGCUCUGCAAGGGCAGGCCAAUUCGCCCAGAGUUAAUGAAACCGGUUAGCAGCUGUAGACAGGCCUGCAUGGAAUGGUAAAUUCAUGGUUGGUGACGUUGUGGACAAUUUUCACACAAAGAACAGGUCAAUGAGGAGCGGAGGCACGGUAAACCGAGGCUCAUAAUUCAACGAAGCAUGUUCCUUCACAUGCUCUUUUAUUUGCCAUGGCUAGCCAUGUUGGGUUAAGACAUCCGGAUAAUCUUUUAUUUUAUCCAUAUAAACAUUGUAUAAUGAUUUAAAUAAAAGCUUGAUGAGAUUGUCUAGAAAAAAAGACACACACGUGCAGCACUCUCACUGACUCACGUACCCUUGAGCAAUGCAAUAGCAUCUCCUAUCAGAUUUGUACUUUUUUUGCGGGAAAAAGAGUACAAAUGUACAGGUAAAAAGAAGUACUGAAAUGUGUAAAUUAUCAUAGGCAGCAGAUUUAACCCUAGUGACUAGAAUGUCUAAAAUCGAUUUGAAUAAUGCAUGGAACAUGGACCAGGCAAGAGCAGCAUCGAAAAACUUGACUCUUUAGAGCAAGUACAAUAACAAAUUUAUAGCCUAUUUAGAUUCUAUGAGAGCAUGAUUAAUAAUAUAAUCAAUAAUCGGCUACAAGGAGUUGUCAUGCCAUUUACAGCCAACCUAAUAGCCGGCAUGCACUAUAGUAAAUUUUAAAUAUGUACUAGUACUUUAUUAGUAGUUGGCUCAUCUUACAAUCUUACGAAACGUUUUGGGGCUCAUGUUGCAGCUGGCUACUAAUCAAUAGUCUGCUUCUCUUCUCUUUCAUCUUCUCUUUCUUCCACCUAAACAAAAAUAUAAUAUUCAAAUCAUUCUAAUCCGUUUAUGUCAUUUUAUUGUAUUUGCUCUGAACAGCCUUAUAGCUAGCCGCCGGCUGUAUUAUUAAGGGUUAGUUAUUUUGUUGCCUUCUAGAAUAAGCUGGAAUAAGCUAUCCCUACUCAGCUUAUUCUAGAAAACCAAUCAAAUUUACUUUUUAGAAGGGAAUCGUUUCCAUACGACGCGCAGGCCGAACCGACGCGCCGGUCGCUUCCUUGCGCGCACGGGUUCAUGCAAUAUUUUUCGCACGUGCGCGCUUCGCUGGUCAGUGGAUGCAACAUUUUUCGUUGAAAUUUGUUGCAACCAGCGUCAUAUUUGUUGCAUGUGUUUUUUACUACAUUUGUCUAGUAAAAAAGUUGCAUAUACGUUUGGUUGCAACUCCAGUUCGUCGGAUUUUUCGUUACAAUCGAUGUUUGUUAUUUUUGCUACAACAGUGUUAAUUUUUGCUACAACCGGUAUUAUUUUUUGCUGCAAUCAUUCACUAAAAAAGUUGCAUACACGUUCACGUAGAUAUUUGUUACAACUGACGUUUGACUUUUGCUAUCACGCACCAUCAGAUUCGUUUUUUUGCUACGAUCACGUAGAUAUUUUUUUUGCUACAAAUUUUGUUUUUUGUUGCAGUCGUUGAAAAAAUUACUGCAUCGCGACGAAUUUUGCUGCAUCGGAAGAAAAAAUGUUGCAUUGAUAUCCAACGGUGCGGACGCGCGGGGGUUGGUGGAUCGUGCGGCCGGCGCGCUGGCGCAGAGCACUGCCUUUUUUAUAAGUCUAUUAAUUAAGACGUGACUAGUAAGCAUUUAAAAAUAUAUUUUUGAUUGGAUUUUUAAAAUAAACUAGAUAGAAGGUAACUUAUUCUAGAAGCUCAAAAAAAGUCAUAAAAAAACUGACCCUAACCAGCCAAGGUCAUCGCCAAUCACGCUGUAUCCGAGAUUUCUGUGCUUGUUUCGUCUAACUCAAGUUGCAACCAUACACUACUGCUCUGCAAACGCAUGCCACCGAAUGAAACCGGUUAGGGUAAAAUUGUCACAUUGAUGAUUUUAAUGACAUGUUGCAUAAUAAAAGAAGAGAAAUAAUGAAACCGUAUGAACCUGAAGCAACGGUUCAUGCACAAGCUCCGAGGCAAACAUGUUAUUUUUUUACUAUUUAGUAAACUCAUUUAGUUAUUUUACAUACGAUUAACAUACACUUUAUUGAAGAGCUUGUAUGAUGUACUGUUGGUUGUUAACGUGGACACUUAUACCAACGAUUGAAUAUAUGAACUGUUGAAGAUGCUCUUAGCAGCUGUAGACAGGCCUGCAUGGAAUGGUAAAUGCAUGGUUGGUGACGUUGUGGACAAUUUCCACACAAAGAACAGGUCGACGAGGAGCGGAGACACUGUUCCCAUGCAACAUUCAACGGUCAACCUGGCUAGCUAGCUUGUCCCCACGCAGAGCUAGCACACCGGCACCGCGAAAUCUCAAAGCUCGAUCGGAUCACCGACGCGCAAUCAGCGAGACACCGCGAAGUCCAUGGAACGCCGCCGGUCAGACGCUUGAUCGCUGCCCGGUCCAAAUUUGCGUGCGUCGCAACGUGCGCCGCCCACGAAACGCGGCUUGCACAUACGUCGUUGCCAAGCUAUUGCCUUCGUACGUACGUGGUCGUCCGGGACGACCUAUAAAUAUGUCAUCCGUAACCCAGCCGGAGGAAACAACGCACCACUCGAAGCAGCCAUCUCUCUAGACUCUAGUGUGCUACUGCGAAAGGAAGAUGGCGACUAAGCUAAAGCUCGCGGCGCUCGUUGUCUUGGCCGCGUUCCUCGCCGGACCGGCGGCGUCCGAGGCCGCCAGCAUUUGCUUCAACGGCUGGCUGAGGCUACCCACCUACAACCCGCAGCUCUGUCGCUCCAGCCCGACCGUUCGGACGCGGCAGAGGGUACCUGCUCCCUCGGGGUCCGGGCUCACCUCCGGCUAUUACAACACCAGGUGCCCUAGCGCGGAGCAGAUCGUCACGGACGCCGUGAAGAAGGCCGUGGAUGCCAACCCUGGCAUUGGUGCCGGGCUCAUCCGUCUCUUCUUCCACGACUGCUUCGUUCGGGUACACACACAGCUCCUCGAUUCUAUAGCUUAUAUUCUACCAUAUUCAUUAUAUGUGGAACAACAUGUUCAUUAUGUGGAACAACAUGUUAAUAUUAUUUAGGGGUGCGAUGCUUCGGUCCUCCUCAACACGACCAACUCCAAGAACAGCGACACGGAGAGGGAGGGCCCUCCGAACAAGGACAGCCUGCGAGGGUUCGAGGUGAUCGACGAGGCCAAAGCGGCGAUCGAGGCCGCCUGCCCCAGCACAGUCUCAUGCGCCGACAUCGUGGCCUUCGCCGCCCGCGACGCGUCCUACUUCCUCAGCGACCGCAGGAUCAACAUCCAGAUGCCGGGCGGCCGCUACGACGGCCGCGAGUCCUUUGCCAACGAGACCGACCAGCUGCCCGGGCCCUUCUCCAACCUCACGGCGCUCCAAGAAAGUUUCGGGGCCAAGGGACUCACCUCUGACGAGAUGGUCGUGCUCUCCGGCGCGCACACAAUCGGCCGCGCCCGCUGUAUGUUUUUCUCCAGCCGCUUCCCUGAGAUGGACCCGGCAUUUGCCGCCAAGCUCAGGGCACAGUGCAACGGCAAUGACAACACCAACGUGAACC
Molecule: long non-coding RNA, 50606 nt
Filed under: Hordeum vulgare
Lineage: Eukaryota; Viridiplantae; Streptophyta; Magnoliopsida; Poales; Poaceae
Description: long non-coding RNA (HVUL_LNC007756)
Source: RNAcentral